CUCUUCAUGAUGACUUGUUGUUGUUGCUGCAGCUGCUGGUGUUCUUGUUAUUGUUGUUGUUGUUGUUAUUAUUAUUGUUAUUGGGGUCGCGGGGUUGGAGGUGGGUGGAGUCUGAAUGUCUCCCCGCCCCUUCCUGAAAGCCGAAACUUAGAAAACUUCGCUUUGCUGGGUUGACUAAGCCUUCAUUCUUGGUUCUGGUUAUAUAUAUCUAUAUAUAUAUAGAUAUAGAUAUAGAUAUAUAGAAACAGCUUGUAUUUGGGGGACAAAAAGGACAAAACAAACAGCAAUGAAACCAAAUGAGGCGUUAAGUUUACAGUAGUAGUUGCAUGGCAUGGUAAUUUGGAAGGCUCUGCUUUUCCGCAAGCAAUCAUUUUUCCAUGUCUUUUCUUUUUUAUACUUGGUGAAAUGGUUGAGAACAAACUGAUUGAAGCUUUUGGUUGUCUCUUGCGAUGUCAUCAACCACAAUGCUGCCACAUUACUGCUAUAUUAAUGAGACAUCACCAUUCACUUAACCAAAUUGGCCUGUGAGACUUGAUUGCAACAAUCAAGAAAGUAUGAGCUAGAAAUUGCGGCUAUUAUUGUUUGGGGACCAAAGUGUCACCUGCCUCAUAGUUUGAGGACCAAAAGUGUAAUUUAGCUUUAUUUUAUCUAUCAACCCUUGGAACAGGCAUUAAUUUUCCUAUCUCAGCACUCUGUUGGAAGGUCUGCUGUUUUGCAGGCAACCUUGUUCUGUCAUUUGUGAUGCCUCUUGAUGUGAACGAAUGGCAGGUCGGAGCCUCUCUGUCCUUCUACUUUCUUUUCACUGUUGAUAUUUCUCAUGCUGACCGUCCAUAUGUCCUCAAUCCUCUUGCUGACUGUAUGCUUCAACCGGAAGGCCCUUACUGUUUCAUGCAAUAUUAAGGAAGUGUUUUUCCUUCGUUGUACUUGUCAAAGGAGGCUGUGAUGAUUGCCACUUGGGAAUGCACCUCAACUUCUUUAAUCCUUGCUUUGGAUUCUCGGCGGAGUGCAGAAGCUGACCAAAAUACUAGGUAUAAGAGAGUCAACUCAAACCUGAGACCUUGGUUGGGUUUUGACAGUUCGGGUGGGAUUUGAAUCUUUUUUUUUUUUUUAAUUUUAUAUUUUAGUCCUUUUACACCCCUUGAGAGGCCUUUACGUGGUUCAUUUGUGGGAUAGACGGCAUCUCAGUGGAUGGCUUUUGGCUGACAUGAUCACCUGGUGUAGGCUAUAAUUUUUCCUUUCUCAGCAGCUCAUAUAACCAACAUUAAGUACCUGUAGCAGGACUUAAAUUGGAAGGUCUACUGUCUUGGAUGCAACAUUUUGCUGUCGUGUCUUUAAGGUGCAGAAGAUUGCAAGAUCCCUUGCGAGAUGAUUAAGUGGCAAAUCUGAGCCUCCAUUUUCUUCUCCUACUUUCUUUUUAGCUAUUAGGAUUCGGUGGUACAUUAUUUAUUUUUCCCAUUUUUUCUUUUCCUCCUCUGGCCUUCUUACUGCAUGUAGAACCUAGGUGGGUUGUUUUCACAUAUUCCUUAUCUACUUCCUGAAAUGUGACACUCUACUUCAUGCUGGUUGAUGCUAAAUCAUUUAUCCUGUAUGUCUUCAGAUUUAGGCAACUUGUUAGUCUUUUAGAUUUUGAAAAGAACUAAAAACAGAUAAAGAUACGGAUGUUUGGCAUGUAUAUCUGUAUAUUUGUAUGCUGAUUCAAAUGUGGGUAUCCAACAUACUUGUAUAUCUACUUUUCCAUUUCUCUUCUUGAUGCCUUGUUGUUGUUGCUGCUGCUGCUGUUGUUAUUCUUGUUAUUAUUAUUACUGUUGUUAUUGUUAUUGUGGUCGCAAUGGUGGUGGUAGAGGUGGGUGGAGUAUCGCCUCUCCGUGUCACGCCCCGAAACCGCUAUCAAUUUGGUCCGGCUCGGGCGCGUCGAACAGACGCCGAACGGACAGAACCUCCCCUCCAUUCUAGGCUCAACAACAAGAUCAUGUACGUUUUUGUCGCCCAGGAUGACAUACAACAUACAUGAACAGUACGAAGCACCGCAAGUGCUACACAAUUAAGAGCAAGACACAAGUAAUAAAAUGAGUGGUAUAAAGAGAGUAACAUCUAGCUAUUACAUCCACAAGGCAUUCAACAUUUAGAUCCUUGAUUAUAUUUACGUCUCCAAAAUGAAUAUUCAUGAUAAUCUCCAAAAUACCCUAGCAAUCUCCCAAAAUACAUCAUAUGUCACGGGGUGCACGAGGGUACACUAAUGCAAGUGGAAGCUGCUAACUAUACCUAGGGCGCGAUGCUCUUACCACGAUCCUCUGCCGGUGCUCUCUCGCUAGGCCCUGCAACAAAGUGGGGUGAGAACUAUAUAAAUAUAGUUCCCAGUGGGUUCGGCCGCCGACUCCGCCGAUCUUCCCACUAGGUCUAAGCAGGCAUAAGCAGAUAGAUAUCUGUAACUGUAAUUGAUGCAUAUAGAAGGAAUUGCAAGAUUCUACUAUGCCUGGAGAACAAGAGUAAAUCACAUAGCCAUGUAAUCUCUAACAUGCUAUAAUAACUCUAUCAAGUAUACAUGCAAUUCUACUAUGCCCAGCAUGCUCAACAUACUCAAUAUGCUUACUAUGCUCAAUAUGCAUAAUUCUCUUGAGUUCAUCACCCAAUCAUCUGGCUAGCCCAAAGGCGCGCCCUCGACUCACAACUCAAAUCCGUCUAUGAAGGGGGACUCGAACCACUCGAGGGAUUGUCUGCGGGACCCCACAUAGGCUAUCCCUUGGGACCCCACAUAGGCUAUCUCAAUCGUUUCACGUGCCAAGACUCCGAAACUCGCACUACUUGUGCGGAGCGACCGCCACAAGCGCUGAACAGACUGUGUGAGUAUAAUCAAAUUCGUUUCCAACGAAGGUACCCGGUCACUACGACCUACAUGCACAAGUGUUCUUUUAACACUACGUUCUAAUGCCACUCGUCAAGUUGUUUACUUGGUAUACAUAUGACACUCGUCAAGUAUGUACUUGGUUCACAUGUCACUUGCCAUAAUGCAAUUGUCCCGACUAUACUAGUCAUAUAUCCGCUAUGCAAGAUCAAGUUAUUGUCUAACUUAUCUCUAUAGGGUUCUAUGUCACAAACUCAUUCUCAUGCACCCUAAGUUCACAUGCCAAGCCUACUAUGUCGCAAUACAAGGGAGCAUGCAAGAAUAGUAAAAGUAACAUCUAAAUACCCUAACAUGCAUGAUACUAUAUAUGUAGUAUGUUCAACAUAGAAAUACUUAGACAUAGGGAGAAGCCCAGUUGCUUCGGGAUGACACCCCCCACCUCUUGGUGAUGUCCUGAAGUUACGAUUCCGUUUCCAAGAUUUUUGGAAGCUUUCGCCGCAAGUUGCGGCAAUCUGUACCCUAACGGCUUCGUUCUUUAAUAUCUUCGCGUACGCUCGUCGUAUCGCCGAACCGAUUUCGCCAACGCGUCAGAAAAUCUAGCAAUUAGGUUUAUACAUGAUCAAUUUAGAUCAAAACCUCACAUAUCGAAAAAUUCUAUUUUUGAGCCCUAACAUGCAAUUACCCCCAAAUAAUCCAAAUUAAAUGGAGCAACAUGCUAAGAAUGCUCAUUAGAGGCUACUAGAAUACUUAAAGUUAAGGAUUAAGCCAAAUCCCAAAAGUUUACCAAAAUGUGAACGCCGAGACGGAAGCACGCCGCUCCAACGGGCGCACGAAAGCUCGAUCCGUCGCUCCCGACGCGUUCGCAAGCUCGUUCUCCGCCAACGCCGCGAAUUUGGGCGAAAGAUCUAGAGAGAUGAGAGAGUUAUUUAGAGAGAGAAAGUGAGGAUUUCUCUCACUACCACCAUGAACAUGUGCUUGUGGGGGUGGUGCUUGGCUGUGAAGAAGAAGCCAAGUCACUAGAAGCUUCUACUUAUAUAGUCAACACCCCAAUAUAGUCAACACCCCAAUAGUAGCAUACACUAUUCACUUCAGGCAGUUCGAAAUCUGAUAUCUUUCGCCGGAGCCCUCUGAAUAUCCGUUUGAGCUCAAAUUUGACAGUCAUGUUCGGAUUUGCUUAACUUAACGAAAGAAAUUUUAAUCUUUCAGUUUCGACCUCGUUUGGUCACCGAAAGCCGUACCGAACUGUAAUCUUUAUCAGAUCACUAUCGGAUUUUAUUUUUCACCUUCCGGAUGUCAGAAUGAUAUGAAACUUUAAAUCUAGCCUCAUAAAAAUAAUUUUGGCUUAUCCUCCAGUUUUCAGAAUUUUCUGACACUGCAUUUUCUGCUAAUUUAUCUGCCCCGUUUCACACAGAAAAUUCUAAAUCUUCUGUUUUCGCUCUGAUUUCAACACGGGUCAUUCCAGACUUAUAUUUUAUGUCUAUAAGUCCAAUAAAAUAGUAUCUCACACUAUUUUUAUUUAUAUUUAUUUUUAUAUUAAAAUUUCAGCAUAUUACAUCCCACCGUAACUUCAUAAUUUAAGAAGUUCGGUACCUUACAAUCCGCCCCUUCCUGAUGGGGGAAACCCACAAAAAUUUGCUUUUCGGGUUGACCAAGCCUUCAUUCUUGGUUCUGGUUCUAUAUAUAUAUAUAUAUACAUACAAACUGUUUGUAUAUAGAGGAAAAAAGAAAAAGAAAAAAGCAACAAAACCAAAUGAAGCCUUAUUAAGGUUUCAGUGGUAGGUGCAUGGCAUGGCAAUUUUGGAAGGCUCCGCUUUUCUGCGAGCAACCAGUUGUCCAUGUGUUGCCUUGCUUAGAUUUGCCGAAAUGGCUGAGAACAAACAAAUUGAAGCUUUCGAUGGGUCUCUUGGUUGUCAUCAACCACAAUACUGCUGCAUUACUGCUACUUUAGUGAGACCACCAUUUACUCAACAAAAUUGGCCUAUGAGACGAUUGCUACAAUCAAGAAAUUUUCGAGCCAGAAACUGCAAGUAUUAUAGUUUUGAGGACCAAAGUGUCAUCUGGAUCAUAGUUUGAGCACCAAAGUGCAAUUUAACCUUAUUUUAUCAAACGAACCAAGGAACAGGCAAUAAUUGUCCAUCUCACCUGCCUGUGGCAGUACUCAAUUGGAACUCAAUUGGAAGGUCUGUUGUUUUGCAGGCAACCUUGUUCCAUCAUUUAUCUUAAAGGUGCAUAAGAAUACACGAUGCCUCUUGAUAUGAUUGAAUGACAGGUCAGAGCCAACUUCUUUCAUACUCUCUUUUGUUAUACUUGUCAAAGGAGGCCGUGAUGAUUGCCACUGGGGAAUGCACCUCAGCUUCUUUAGUCCUUGCUUUUGAUUUUUCGUUGGAGUGCAGAAGCUGACCAAAAUACUAGGUAUAAGAGAGUCAACUCAAACCUGAGACCUUGGUUGGGUUUUGACAGUUCAGGUGGGAUUUGAAUCUGGUUUUUUUUGGUUAUUUUGGUUCUUUUACACCCCUUGAGACGCCUUUGCAUGGUUCAUUUGUUGGAUAGACAGCAUCUCAGUGGAUGGCUUUUGGCUGACAUGAUCACCUGGUGCAGGCUAUAAUUUUUCCUUUCUCAGCAGCUCAUAUGUGACCAACAUUAGGUACCUGUAGCAGGACUUAAAUUGGAAGGUCCACUGUCUUGGAUGCAACCUUUUGCUGUCGUGUCUUUAAGGUGCAGAAAAUUACAAGAUCCCUUGCGAGAUGAUUAAGCGGCAUAUCUGAGCCUCCGUUUUCUUCUCCUACUUUCUUUUUAGCUAUUAGGAUUUGGUGCUACAUUCUUUAUUUUUCCUUUUUUUUCUUUUCCUCCUCUGACCUUCUUACUGCAUGUAGAACCUAGGUGGGUUGUUUUCAAAUAUUCCUUAUCUACUUCCUGAAACAUGACACCAUACUUCAUGCUGGUUGAUGCUAAAUCAUUUAUCCUGUAUGUCUUCAGAUUUGAGGCAACGUGUUAGUCUUUCAGAUUUUGAAAAGAACUAAAAACGGAAUAAAGAUUCGGAUGUUUGGCAUAUAUAUCUGUAUACUUGUAUGCUGAUUCAAAUGUGGGUAUCCAACAUACAUGUGUAUCUACUUUUCCAUCUCUCUUCUUGAUGCCUUGUUGUUGAUGCUGCUGCUGCUGUUGUUAUUAUUAUUAUUAUUUUUGUUAUUAUUAUGGUCGCAGUGGUGGUGGUGGAGGUGGGUGGAGUCUAUCGUCUCUCCACCCCUUCCUAGGGAACCCACGAAACUUUUCUUUUCGGGGUUGACCAAGCCUUCAUUCUUGGUUCUGGUUAUAUACAUACAUACAAACAUUUUGUAUAUAGAGGAAAAAAGAAAAAGAAAGGAAAAAAAAAGCAACAAUAACAACGAUACCAAAUGAAGCCUUAAGGUUUCAGUAGUAGGUGCAUGGCAUGGUUAUUUUGGAAGGUUCUGCUUUUCUGAGAGCAACCAAUUUUCCAUGUGUUGUCUUGCUUAGACUUGCCGAAAUGGCUGAGAACAAACAAAUUGAAGCUUUCGCUGGGUAUCUUGGGAUGUCAUCAACCAUAAUACUGCUAUGGUAGUGAGACAUCACCAUUUACUCGACCAAAUUGGCCUGCGAGACGAUUGCAACAAUCAAGAAAGUUCAAGCCAGAAAUUGCCAGUAUUAUAUUUUUGAGGACCAAAUUGUCAUCUGCCUCAUAGUUUGAGCACCAAAAGUGUAAUUUAGCCUUAUUUUGUCUAACAAACCACAGACACAAAACAGGCAAUAAUUUUCCUAUUUCACCUAUGUAAUACACUGGAUCUUAGCAAAUUGCAAGAUUCGAGUGUUUGAUCUGUGUGUGGAGCCUUUCCACAGUUUUUGGAGGGUCGUUGAUAGUGUUCCGACCCCUGGCACGCACCCCGAGGAUGUUGGUUUGAGACUUGGCACCAAAAUUUCAAAAUUGAAAUUUUUAGUCAGCUCUCGGAUAGCCUGCAGCAGAGCUUGUACCGGAACAAGAUUGGUCUUGUACCGGUACAAGGUUGAUGGUUGUACCGGUACAGCCAUCGGGCUUGUACCGGUACAGAGCCGCAGACUCCGCAACCCGAGCCUCGGGUUUGCAUUUUCGCAGGGCUUGUACCGGUACAAGGGCCCGUGUACCGGUACAAGGUGGCUGAUUGUGUGCAGUUUGAUACUGCAGGGGGUUUUUCGCGAUUGUAGCCUAUCUAUAUCAGCCCCCACGCCUUUAGGGACUCUCCCUGAGCUGAGACCAGCAGGAGUUGAGGUAGGAGGAACUCUCUUCUUUCCUUUGCAUUUUUACUCCUUUUGCUUGGUUUUUAUUGGAUUUUCUCUCCUCUAUUUGCAUCUUGGUGGCUUCUCCACCAUUGUUGAUGGCUUAAAGCUUGGAGAGGAGCUAGUGGCCGCGGAGAUCUUCAACGUCACUUGGAUUGGAGCUAAGUUUGGAACUUCUUGAGAGGUCAGAGACUUGAUUUCUCCCUUUGAUCCUUGAUUUGAGGUUUUUGUGAGAUCAAACCCUAGAAAUGAAAAUUUAGGGUUUAUUUGGGCAUUUUCGUUUUAGGGCUUUUGAGGCUCAAUCUCUUGGAUUAGAGCCUUCCUCUAGGGUAGAUUGGAGGGGUUCUAACUCUCAUUUGGAGCUUGAGAGGAGAUCUUUGCAUUUGAGGUGAGUUUUCCUCACCUAUGCUUGCAUAGCUUAUAGAUUGAGCUUAGCAUCAUUCGUUUCAUUUAGGUGACACUUGUUUUCAUACCUCUAGGAUACUAGGAGGUUAGAGGACACCUUCGUCGGAGCAAACGAAGGGCUUCGUUUACCGUUGGUGGUUUUGACUUCAUGAAAACGGGGCGAAAUGGCCCCUAUGCCUCCUAAACUCUUCGUAAAGUAUUUUUAAAUUCAUUUCUAUGCUAAAUAGAAUUUAUAUGAAUUUUUGAGCACUUAAAAUGCAUGCCUUGUGUAUUAUGAAGAAUUUCACUAUAUAGUAGAGCUAUAUGAGUAGAAUGCAUGCAUACGGGAAAAGUGUUUAUUUUGCAAGUGGAAAAUACAUCUCUUAUGAGGAGUAUGACUUGGGACAUGUACUUUGGAACAUAGUUGCCAUGCUUGGACAUAGAGAACAAGAGUGUCAUCAAGGGGCACUUGAAACUAGUAAACUAUUAAAUUGCAAUAUAGAGACAUAUUGAUAGGCCACUACAUAUCUGCUAUAUUCCAUGUUAGAGACAUGAUGACAUAGAGAUAGGCCACUGAGAUACUUGAUAUAUAUUCCAUGUUGNUUUAGCCUUAUUUUGUCUAACAAACCACAGAACAGGCAAUAAUUUUCCUAUUUCACCUACCUGUGGCAGCACUCAAUUGGAACUCAAUUGGAUGGUCUGCUGUUUUGCAGGCAACCUUGUUCCAUCAUUUAUCUUAAAGGUGCAUAAGAAUACAUGAUGCCUGGAUAUGAUCGGAUGGCAGGUCAGAGCCUCUCUUUCCUUGUGCUUUCCUUUCAGCUAUUAAUAUUUCUCAUGCUGACUGUUCAUAUGUCCUCAUUCUGACCGUAUACUUCAAUCAGACCGGCGCUUAAUGUUUCAUUCAAUCUUAAGGAAGUGUUUCUCCUUCAUUUUACUUGUCAAAGGAGGCUGUGAUGAUUGCCAGUUGGGAAUGCACCUCAACUUCUUUUAUCCUCUCUAUUGAUUCUCGGUGGUGUAAAAGCUGAUCGAAAUACGGGAUAUAGGAGGCAAUAUAGUUAGCUCAAUCCUUAGAUCUUGGUUGUGUUUUGAUAAUUCGGGUGGGAUUUGAAUCCAGUUUGUUGGUUAGUUUUGUCAUUUUGCUUCCCUUGAGAGCCUUUCGCUUCGUUAAUUCGUGGGAUAGACAGCAUCUCAGUGGGUGGCUUUUGGCUGACAUGAUUCACCGGGUGCAGGCAAUAAUUAUUCCUUUCUCAGCAGCUCAUCAGGCCAACAGUAGCUCCUGUAGCAGUAGUUAAAUUGGAAGGUCUGCUGUCUUGCAGGCAACCUUAUGCUGUUCAUAUCUUUAAGGUGCAUAAGAUUACGAGAUCCCGAUCCCUCAUGAGGUGAUUGAAUGGCAAAUCCGAGCCUCCAUUUUAUUCUCCUAGUUCCUUCUUAGUUAUUAAGAUUUAGUGGUACAGUAAUUUUUUUGUAGCUAUUAAUAUUUAAUGGUACACAAUUUUUCUGUUUUAUCUUUAAUUUCUCAUCCUCUGGCUUUCUUACUGCAUGUAGAAUCUAGGAUGGGUUGUUUCAAACAUUCAUUAUCAAUCCCCUGAAACCCUACUUCGUGCUGGUAGAUGAUGACUAGAUAGAAGUUUGGGGGGUCUAUUUCAAAAUGGUCUAUAGUUGAGGGGAUCUUUAUCCUAUUUAUCCUCUCAAUAUAUCUGAUGGUGAAAAGGUGUUGAUAGUCCCUGUCGUGUCCCAAUACUGUCCCAAUAUUGUGACUUAGUCCUUGAACCUUUUCAAUAACACUCCUCUCUUUCAUCUUUCUUAUAUUCUUGGAAUUUCAUCUCUCCCAUCUCUUUGGUUCAUAUGUUGCAGGCAAAAUCUCUCAUUAGAACUCUGCAUUGUAAUUUAAUUACUAGAGAGGAUUGGCAGGCGCGUGAUCAGUAAUUAGAGGCAGCUCUGGAUGGUCUGCUGUUCUGCAGGCAACCUAGCUUGUACCCAUUUAUCCGGUCAUGGCUGGGGUGGAGGAGGUGGUGGUAGUGAUAAGGAUUGGAUGUAUGUGGGUUCAUAUGAUCCUCUUCUCUGAUUAGGGUAUCACCAUUGCUAUCUUCGCGGCACUCACUUAUUCUCUUGAUCAAAGUUCCUGUAAAGGAUAUCCUUCGUCAUUUACUUCUAUUUCGCAAUUCCUGUUCCUUGAUGUGUUUCGGUAUUUGUGGAAGUUUCUGUUGAUCAUCUUCAAGAGAUGCAGAAUAACCACUUUUGUGGAGUAAAGCUUCUCUCCGCGGUCUUCUGAGAUGUAUACCCAUGAAAUUUUGUGCCUCAGGGUUGAUGAAUGGCUAAAAAUCAAGCUUUUUGAUUUUGAUUGUGCAUUCUUCAUAUGGGUUUAAUUGGUCAGUUAGCUUGGUCCAUUGACACCUCUAAUCUGAGCCAUGCUUCAUUAAUUCAUGGGAUGGAUGACAUUGCCGUUGGUGGUGCAUGUCUGAUCUUGUGCACCGGGUACAGGCCAUAAUUUCUCCUAUCUCUGCAGUCCAUAAGGUCGGCGUUUUGGGGUUCACAUAGCAAUGCUCAAUUGAAAGGUCUGCAUUCUUGCAGGCAACCUUACAAAGUCAUUUGUCUUUAAGGUGCGUAAGACUACAUGAUGCCUCAUGAUAUGAUUGAAUGGCAGAUCUGAGCCUCCCUUUUCUUCUUGUUUCUUUUCAGCUAUUAGGAUUUAUUGUUGUCAUUUUCUUCUUCUCUGUGUUUGUUUCUGCAUGGAGAAGCUAGAUCAUCAAUUCCUAUUCCCUGUACUUUUCAGUGGUUGAUGAUCAGAUUUGAGUUGGUGACUUGGUCGGCUUAUUUCAAGAUGGCCUGUAGUUGAGGGGUCUUCAUACAUUUUACCUUUUUAAUAUGGGUUGGAAUAAGAAUCAGAUAUUAUUUUUCAUCCGAGGCUGGUGAUAUCGGUGACUUUAUCUGAGGAAUAAGAGCUAUUUAUAGUCCCUGUACUAUUCCGAUAUUGUAAUUUGGUCCAAACUACAUCUCCACAACCUUCACUUCGGCACAGGUGUAGUUUCCUAUUAGACCUCUGCAGUGUAAUUCAACCACUACAGAGGUUCCAAGUGUGAUCUAGCAAUGGUGAGGCAGCUAUGGAUGGUCUGCCUUUCCGCAGGCAACCUAGCUGGACCCCUUAAAUCUAAUCAUGAUCUGCCAUGAAGAUAGCAUGCCAGUGUAGCUUCAUCUUUAAGACUCUUCCUCUGUUGAAAGUUUGGAGUGCCAUCUUCGUGGUACAUUUGUUCUCUUGAUCCUGUUAAGAAUACUAGUCCCAUAUUCGAUACUUAAGCUUUUUGGAUUGGUCCGAGACUUUUGGCAUAUCCAACUUCUAGCGAGGGAUAUUUUUAUCUUUUUUUUUUUUUUCAAUUAUUCCAUCUGUCCUUCCUGAUGCCUUUGAUUAUUUGGAGAAGGCGGUAAUGAUUUCUAGCAUGUUGCACAUGAGCUUUCUUCCAAAAUGUUAUGAUUAUUCUAUCCCAGGCUGUAGAAUAUUGAUUUUGCCAAUUGGACGUAGUGGAGGAUGCCGGUCAGCGCGUGUGCGGAGCCUAAAUGAGGUGAAAACGUUUUGGCGCGAAAUGGACGCAAAAACGAAUGAAUAGGGUCAAUCUCUUAUUAUGGAGGACCAAAUCGCAAAUAGACAAAGUUUCGGGCUAAGUUGCAAAAAGGGCAACUUAGUGGAAUUCCACUAAGAGCUCUUAACCUUAUUUUACUGUUCUUUCACUAUUCUGGCCUCCAGUAGACCUAAUGGGAAGAUCGUGGUUAUCGUCGACCGUAUCCACUGGGAACUACUGUUUAGUAGUUCUCACAUCCUUUUGUGGUUUACUUUUGAGGGGUAGGUAUACUGACGGCUGAUCGAGGUGAGGGGGAUCGCGCAGUAGAUACCAUCUCCUACCAGCAUGCCUAGACAUGAGUGGACUACUAGAUAGAGUGCUACUCUGUACUACAUGCAUGUACUGGUGAGGGCCAGGGCUUUUUUUCUUGUACUUUUCUUUUGGGGUUGAGUUUUAUUUGAUAUAGUACAUGAUGUACAGUAGUUUAGUUUGUAGAUAGCGCUCUGAUACUUGUCGUUUGCUUAUUCUGUACUUCAUGUUGAUUCCUGUGUUGUGGAAACUUCUCUAGUGUGACCUCUUGGAAUCCUUUGUCCUGUUCAGUUAUGUUGACGUUUCGUUCAGGCAGGAAAAAACUCUGUUCGUUCGGCGAGUCUGUUGACGUCCCCAUAGGCUUCCGCUGUGGACUUGGGGCGUGACACAGGCUUCCUGAGAUUCAAAGUUUGAAACCCUUGAAAUACUGCUUUAGGUUUCAAAUCUUGGAAGGCUCUGCUUUUCCAGCAGGCAACCAGUUUUGCAUUCAGGGUUCAACCCGUUUUUUCGAAAUUUUUUUUUUUUUUCCCAUAUUAUAUCAUUUCUGACAAAAAGGUUGUAUCCAGUAUUUGAUUUGUGUCCCCAGCUAAGCACUCAUGGUUUCCAACACUGCUCUCCGUUGAAUGUUUGUAUUUGAAUUUGUACUUGGAGAAGUAUGGAAAUAGUCAGUUGCUAUCUGAACAAUAUCCGACCCAUUUUCAUCCCUAGUUAUGUGACAGGUAGUGAUCCUAGUAGAGUCUAGAGACACUGAAGAAGAGAUAUAGUCGUUUCUCACCCUCUAUCAGCGUCUAGAGAGUCUAGAGAGUAAGAGGGAAUCGUUAUCCUGAAAUUUCUUUCCUAAUGUCCAUAUCAGUGUCUCUUUACGUUUUAAUCUUUCUGCUGUGGAAAUCUUAUUUUAGAUUGCUUUACUUCGCUUUCUCGUAUGUCCUGCAUCUAGGUAAUCUUCUUAAUCUAUGUUGUUAGAGCCUUCUUGACUGUCUCUUCUCUCUCUACUUGGGUUCAUCCAUUAACCAGAUAGAAUUGUCCUCUUCUUUUUCUGCAGAAUGUGUUUACCUAAACUAUGAACAAAUGAUAUACAUUUUUUUGUUUUUUCAAUUGACCUCUGAAUAUUGACUUGGUUUCUUUGAUUAAUUAGUUAGUUCACUGCAGUCGGCUUUUUUUUUUUUUUUUUUUUUUUUUUUUUUUUUUUUGGUUUUUGGUUUAUACAUUCUGUUUCCAGCAUAUUUUUUAUAUUAAUGGCUUUACUGUUUACUGUUUUCUGAAUUAGUAUUUUGCAGUUGACAUUUCUCUCGUAUUCCCGUUUCUUUUUAUUAUUUUUGUUAUUAUUGUACCGUUUUGUGUUCUUUCAACAUGCUUGUACAUCUUUCUUCUCUUAUUCUUCUAAUCCCUAGCUACCAUUUUACCAUUGAACCCUGAAUUCUAAACCCUUGGGACAUUGUUUGGUUCAUAAGUGGAGUGAGAAUGGAAAAUAGAAUGACAAACCAUCAACGAAUGUUUGAUUCAUUAUUGACCAAAAUAGUUGUAUAAUUAGGAGGUUCACUUAGAGAGCGGGGGUGUACCGAGUUAUUUAAUAAAAUAUAGUAGAGGACCUACUCGGCAAAAAUAAUAGUUUACGCAGUUAUUUGCAAAAUAACUAAAUUUUAAUUUUUAGGAUGUCUCUGAACAUUUUUUUUUCCUUUAUGAUUUUUUUUUUUUGGCAAUGUUAACUCUACAACGCACCCGUUUUAGACUGUAGAUCUUAUAACUAGAUUAUCCAAAAAGAUAAUCAACUUUGUGCCCUUAAAAAAGAGCUAAUUUCCUCUGUAGCUUUAAAAAAUUAAUAAUUUUUCAUUUACCUUUUAUUUCGAAAAUAUACUCCCGAAAAGAAAAAUUUACAUGCUCCUUUAAAUAUUUGAAAGAAGGAUCAGGUAAAUAUGAAAUUAAUUUUGUAUUGAGGCGUAUAUGAGUAGUGAUAUUAAUGAACACUAAUGUGAUAAUUUUUGUUGAAUUAAUGUUAAAAGUUAAUUAAAAUAAAUAUUACAGAAAAGAAGUUUAGGAGAAAAACCAAAAAUAGGAAAUUACUCCAAAAAUCUCAAAGAAGGAAAAGGAAGGUAAGGAUGUUGUUUCAAAAUAGCUAUUAUUGAGGAGUCUCGACGCUUUUUUGUAUUUGAAAUCAAUGAUUUAAGUGUCUUGGCACGGGAUCGUGCGGAAAUUUGCCGGCACGAUAUGUGCCGAGCCGUGCCGAUGCGUGUCGGUCAAAAAAAUUCUUGCAUGCCGACACAUGGCAACAUGAAAUAUUUAUUUUCUUUAGUAACAAAAUAUUUUAACUAUUUAUUAUAUUUUUUUAUCACAUCUUUUGAACUUUAUUGAGGAAAUUAUUUACUAAUUUAAAGAAUAUAGGGUUUUUAGCUGUGCCAUCGGCACGGGAUCUGUAUCGUGCCGGUAUCUUGUUGGUGCGAUAUGGCACGGUGGAAACGGCCCGUGCCGACGGGUACUUAAAAUCUAGUUCGAAAUGCUGAGUGCACAUGCGGUUGUUACAAAUUAUUUAUAAUUACAAUGUUUUCCACUAUAUCUAAUUAAACAAAUUAUCUAUAUCUAUAUCUCUAUACUUAUACAUUAUUUUCCAUAUAGUCUUGCCACGUAGCGGUCCCUUCUUUAUCUUACCUUCUCCUCUCUUCUCUAAUCACAAUUGUUUCAGCCGCACAAAACCUUUGAUCUUCCAAUCAAUGAACGAUCUUAAACCCACACUCUUCGUUUCCCCACUAAGGAGUUACUAACGCAUUAUUAACUUUAAUAAUUAAUAAUUACGAUGAUCCGCACAAUUAGCACCACUAAAACCCCAUCAUCAUCAUCUCCUCUUUCUCGGAAUCAAAUAUCACACUCUAACAAUGUCCUAUGUUAUAAACCAACUUUUCUAUCUAUUAUUCUUAUUAUUAUUCUCGAACGCGAGGACGAACCCGUCAACGCCAUUCGGGUCGAGCCAUGAUUGUUCAGGCACAUUGUUUGGGUUCAGCGUAUGCUUGGAGUUAGUGGAGGGCGGGGCGAACGGGUCCAAAUCGGGGUUGCUGCUCUGGGUUCGGUCACGUGCUGAGUCGGAGUGUCACGUGCCUCUGUGAGGCCAUACGAGAUAGGCGUACCCGUGAACGUCACCAAAGCUCUCGCUUUGCCCUUGCUUUGUGGGCUCUCCUACACGCCAAUUGUCCUCUGUUACAAAACUAAGAGGUGUAUUUUUUUUUUAUGGUCCAAUUUCACCUGUACAAAUUGCUUUCAUAAGAAAAAAUAAGUAAAAUAAAAUUUUUUUGUACUCUUUUUUUCCCUUUUUUUGGCGCAUAAGAAUGGUUUAUAUUUUGUAAUUUUUUUAAUUUUUUUUAUCUUUUUGUUUUUAAAUUGUAUGUGUACUGAAAUUAGGGUUUUGUGGAUUGUAGAGCAGCAAAGAUAGAUUUGGAGUCAACGAGAGAAAAGAAGUGGAAUCAACGUGGCUGUGACGAAAAGGAGCUCGACAUUGAUAAUGGCGACAAAGGUAAUGUGGAGAUGGGGAUUCGUCUUCCCGAUGUCGGUAGUGAAAUCAAGAUACGUAUGGAGUAAUAAUUCUAUUGCUGCUUCUUUCAUUACUAUUUUUUAUAACUUAUUUAAUGAAAUUAUAAAUUUUGUUACAUUUGUACGUAUAUCUGUUUCAUCUCUUUUAUUUGUAUAUAUGUUAAUAUAUAUUAUUUUUAUUUAUUAAUGUCUUAUGACAAUUCAAAAAAUUUAAAAUUUUUACUUUAUGAAUUUUUUGUCUUUCUAUAGCAUCAAUCCGCCGCAAUGCACGGAUAAUUUCACUAGUAUAUACUUAUAACUGCGGCAUGAGUUGUAAAUCUUAUAUUUCACGAUUUAAAGGCUAAUUGUUACACACUAGUUAUAUCGACAUAAUUUGAUAUAGCUAAUAUGCAGCAUGUAACUCUUAUAAUGAGAUGUAAAAUGUAUACCCAGCUUUUGAGUUUACAGAUUUGUUUGUUAAUUCGCGAAUUAUUCACGAAUUAUUAAAAAUUCAAAUUAAACGGUCCGUUUACGAAUUUUUUUCAAAAAAAAAAAUUAUUAGCGAAUUUUUUGGCCAGCCGAAUAAUUCGCAAAUUAUUUUCGAAUUAUUGAAAAUUUAAAUAAAAAACUUAUAAUUUUUAUGUUUAAAUAUAGAUUAUCUUAUAUUUUAUAUAAAUAUGAGUUCUCUGUUCAUUCUCCCCCCCAAAAAAAAUAUUUAUAUAUAUUUUAUAAUUAAUAAUGGGCUAUUUUAAUCUAUUUCUUGCUUGAUUGUUUAUAUACCAUAGUGUAUAAUAUAAUUCUCUAUAGUUUUUUUUUUUAUUUAAUCUACUUUAUUUUGUAGCUUUUUAUUCUUAGAAUUGUAAAUGUUUACAAUAGUAGUAUAAAUCUAGAAAAAAAAUUGAAGUUUAAUAGGCAAAUUUUUUAUCCCGAAUUUUUAAUUGAUGAACGUAUAAUUUUCGUAUAAAUCACGUAUCCGAAUAAUUACCAAAUCCAUUUUUUAAGUCGAAUUUUUUAACAAAUUAAAAAAAUUAAAAAACGAAUUUUAUACGUAUUAUAACCGUACCGAAUUUUUUCCGAAUCCGAAUUAACUAACUAUGGUUUAAAGGUAGCAAUGCUCUUUUCAUACAUCCUACUUUCGUUUGAUUUAGCCCAUUUUCUAGUAAUACAAUAAAUCCUUCUAGAAAAUAACUUGGAACUAUAUUACAUUUUAAGAGAGUCUGAGACUUAUGCUGGGUUUAUUCCGAAAAAGUUAAAUUGGAGGUUUGGGUUUCAAAACUAUUGAACCUUCUUUUCAAAACAACUUAGAAUAUUUUAGGUAAAGAUAAUACUCUUGUUUUUGAAUUUACAAUAUCAUGUUUUCAUUCUUUAGAAUUUUUUUUUUCAUCGGUCAACUUUGUUUAUUUAAUGUACCCAAAAAUAAUCUUUGAAAAAUAUAAAAUAUGGUAUGUCAUAUUUGACAGUUGUUGACAUGAACGCAUUCUUAAUUGAAAACGAGUUUAUUUCAGUUCAUUAAAAAUUGCUCAAUCUUACAAUCUUUGUGUUAUUCUAUCAUGAAUUCAACUUUGGAGUUAUUUUAUCAUGAGAUUGUUCUGAUUAACUUUUGCUUUUAUUGUUAUCCAUAUUAAUAUUCACAUUUAUUAAUUUCCUCUAUGAAAGUCUUAGAAAAGAGAAAUUUCGCACUUUCUUUACUCUGAGACAUUUUAUUUAGAUAUUUACAAGCAAAUAUACAUUAAGGGUGUGUUUGGUUCGCAUUAUGAAAGAUAACUAGGAAUAAAAGAUAUCCUAGAAUUUUAUUCCUAUUCAUCCUAUUACUAAGAAUGUGGAAUUCAUGUGUUUGGUUUGCACGGUAAUAUUAAUUAGCCAUAUUAUUUAAUAUUACAAAAAAUAUACAAUUUAUUUAUUUAUUUAUUUAUUUAAUUUUAGAUAAUGUUACCAAAAAUUUCAACAUCUUUUUAGAAAAAAAGAAGAGAGAGUAUAAAUUAGAGAGAGAGCGCAUAAUUAAAAAAAUAGAAAGAAAAAUAUAGUCGAAAUUAGAGGAAGUGAGAGAGUUGAAAUUUUAGAAAAAGAGAGAGAGAGCAAGCUUAGUUUAGAGAGAGAAAAAAAAGUUGAAUUUUAGAGAGAAAAAUAAGUUUAGAGAGAGAUAUAAUGUUAGAGUAUAAAAAAAAAUAAUAUCAAUUAGCCGGCGGAUAGGAAGAAAGAAAGAGAUUAGACAUAUUAUGAUUACCUCAAUCCAUUAAUAAAAGGAUAUCCAUCCUCCUCAAGGGAAUGAGAUUAGUACUUUGGGGUGAAUCUUAUUCCUAAGUGAAUCCAAUAUUACCAACUAGAUUACUUAGUGCGUUUAGCCAAACACUGUCAUAUUUUUUUAUUCCCAUUGGAUUACUAGGAAUCUUUAAAACAUAGCGCGAACCAAACGCACCCUAAGAUUAUUGCACUAACAUUGGGUACAUUAAACUUGAUAGAAUACUUUUCUACUACUUUACUCUUAGAACUAGUUGAAAUCUAAUUGACCAAAUCCUAAUUGUUUUAGAUUGAUGGGCCUGGUUGCAAUUCAAAUAAAUUUGUAGAAUACUUUUGUUUAUUUUAUGUCCUGCUCUGAUGGGAUAUUUACUAGUGAUGUGCAACAAUUUUGGAAUAUCUAACUACAACUAUGGAUUCAGACUGACUUGUGUCCAGUUAUGGGUCAGAACUGUUUUGGGUUUUGAUUUUGUGUCUAACUAUGUAUCAAAACUUAACUGGGUCUUAGCUUUAGAUCUGAUUUUUGAGUCUAAUUAUGGGUCAAAACUAAAUUUGCCUUUGAUUUCUGAUCUACUUAUGGAUCAGAAUAAAUUAUAAUUACAUCUAAUUAAGAUUUGAAUGAUUCUAAUAAACGGCCAGAACUGAAAAAGCACUAGUUAUGAGUCUAAUUAGUUAGAGAUUUUACUUAAUGAGAAUCCUAUUUUGCUAAAACUAAGUUAGUGUUUUUCACCUUCUUUAUUCGAAUAAUAAGAUUAUUCUCUAUGAUUUGAAAGCCUAUAUAUUAGCAAAUUAAACAAAGAAAUAAAAAAUUAUAUAAAACAUUACAUAUAAUAAUAAAAUUCUUUCACAUCAAUAUAUAUUGUUUAAAACAAAUUUCACAUACAAAUAAUAUACUAAAUAUGCAUAUUCCACAAAUUAAAAAAACUAAUUAUUUUCAACUACGUAUGCGCCAAUUGCUAUUGCCAUGCGACUCAAAAGUUCGCGCUUUACUUUUGCAUAGCCGUCCGUUCCCCAAUGACUACCCCAAGAGUUUUUUAUCAAAUAAUAUUUGACGUCGUUUUCUACACCGUAUCCAACUAUAGUCACGGAGUGGCUCCCUCGUUUUUUUUCUCCAACAUGAGGACCCAUAUACACAACCUACAUGGAAAAAAAAAAUAGUCAUUAUCAAAUUAAAAAAAGGUCAUUAUCAAAUAUUAUAUUAUCAAAAGUUAAUUAAAAUUUAUAAGUAUUAGCAUAUAAAAAAUUAUUCAUUAUUAAAUAUUAUAUAUCAAAACUUAAAUUUAUAAAUACUAACAUCUCUCGGUAGAUGAGUAAAGCUGUUAUAUAUGUUUAUGGCAGCAGCAAUAGGUCGUUCUCUCAAAAUUUCUUCGAUUUCUCCCUCAUUAUGUCUUCUUUCCAAUUUGCUCUGAAAAUCUUGAAUCUUCACUCUCUGCUUCUUCUGUAAAAAAUAUUUAAAAUUAUCCAAUAAUUAAUAGAUGUAUUAAUACUAAAUAAGUUUUUUUAGUGUAUAAGUUAACUUACAUCUUCAUUCAUUUGACAAUAUUGGCGUCGUGCAACAUAUGGAUUAUCAGCUUCCAUGGCAAUACCAUAUGUUUUGAUGUACUCUAAACACUUGCUAUGUGUGCACUGUAUACAUCCAACGGCGUCUAUAUGUUGUUCACGGGAAGAUGGAUACAUUUCAUGAUAACAGUUUACUAGCUCUUGUUUUGAUAAUUCAAUGAGUUGACCAUACUUUUUUGCAUAUUCUGCUUCAACUAAAGUGGUGGAAGAAAAGGCAUAGCAACAUUCUUCGUAUAAUUCAUUAAAGAAAAAAAACAUUAGUUAAUAAAACAAUAAUGAAUUGUAUUAAUCUCUACAAAAAAUCAUUCUAUUAAGUAUACUUACGACACUCUCUUUGAUUUCCUACGUCCUCCCGAAUUAUAUUAAUUGGCUUGUCGUAAAUCAAAAGAUGCCUAUCAUAUUAAAACAAAGAUAUGAAAAUGAGAAUUAAGAAAAUAAGUAAUUUCUAUAUAUCAAAUAAAAAGUAUAAUCUAUGAUAAUUUUUGUUAUUUGAUAACUUUUUUAUUGGAAAAUUAGGAUAUUCGCUUAUUUUAACGAACUUAGUUUAUUUUACAAAAUUCAUUUGCAAAUAGCUCGAGGUAAAUUAAUUAAAGAAAAUUUAGUAGAAUUAAAAUUAUUAAAAUAUUAGUUGGUAAAUCAAAACUUAAACUAGAUUAAAACUAAUCCUAUUUUAAAUAGGUUUCAUAUAUAUAUAUAUAUAGCUAACGACUCAAAAUUCUUUUGAGUUAUUACCAUGUUAGUGUGGGUUGCGAGGUGGAGUUAGAAACAGACCCAAUAAAAAUAAUCUUAUCUAUCAAAAAAAUGCACUAUAUAAUUUACAAAGUGCAUGGUUAUGUGGGAGUGAGAUUCUCUUCUCACACUUUCAUUGGAUAAAAAUGUGUGAAAGUACUAUUAUACAUGAGAUUUGCAUUGAUACUUUGGCAGCCAGACUAACUAAAUUUAAAUUAUAUUAAUUACCUAAGGUCUCGUUUGGCAUGCAUUGUUGCUGGUUAUAAGAUUAUCAAGAAAAUGCACUUUGUGAUUUACAAAGUAGUUCAAUGUGGGAGAGAGGUUCUCUUCUCACACUUUUAUUGGAUAAAAAUGUGUGAAGUACUAUUAUACAUGAGAUUUGCAUUGAUACUUUAGUGACAAACUAAUGAAACUUAAAUUAAUUAAUUAAGUAAGGUCUUGUUUGGCAUGAAUUGUUGCUUCUCGUUUGGCAUGCAUUAAUUUGUUGCUAGUUUUUACUUUCUUAAAUAUAUAAAAAUUUUAUGUCAAAAACUAUAAGAUUAAAUGAUGUACUACAUGUAUAUGACUUUUGCAUUGCAAGUUAAACAAAUCAUGAUAAGAAAAGAAAAAUCAUCCUACAGAAAUCAAAUUAAGCAUAUGAAAAUAUAUUGUGUUUGAAAAAAAAAAUUAAAAUAAUAUAAAAUAAAAUCUAAAAUAUUUUACUAUAUGCACCGUCUAAUUGAGUAGCUGAUAAAAUUUAAAGAUAACAAUUUAUCACUACUCUAUAAAAAAAUAAAUAUUUUGAAGAAAAUGUGUAUAAUACUAGCAUUCACGUACGGGAUUUGCAUGGGACCAUGGGUACUUCUCCCACCGUCUAAAUUUGAGUAACUAGAGAUAACUAAAGAAUACACAUGCACGUUAACUACUUAGCUUGAGUUAAUUGAGUGAGCUAUUUUUACGUAUUAGCUAAAUUGGUUCAUGAUUCACUUGUGAGGCCUCUUUGGAGAAAUUGUUGCCUGCAACCAACAUAUAAUGAUGCAUGCAUUAGUGGAAGAAUCUAUGCUUUUAGAUGGAUGAGAUGUAUAAGUUGUGAACCUAACAUAUAUAAGUUGCAUUGCUCAUAAAACCAAGUAAUAAUUUCACAAAAAGUUCAAAAAUUGGUAGUACAAUUAAUGUACCUAAUUUUAAAGUUCAAAUGCGCGCACCAGAAUCUUUUAAAAUUUUGCUCAAUCAUCCAAACUUUAAAAGUUUCUUAUUUGUCAUCCAGAACUUUCAAUUCUUUAACAUUUAACUACUUACUUUAUACUUUGUUAAUUUAAACUGACUGACAAUACCUAAAUGGUCAAGAAACAAUAAACAACACAUGCCAAAGCUAUAGAAAGGAAUUUUUUUUUUUUUUUUUUCCAAUGAUGGAAUUUAGUUUUACAGUAAAAAACAUAUUUUUUAUUAUUAACUAUUAAAAAUUAUAGUGAUAUUCUCAGCAAAAGAAAUAUUAAUGAAGUGUGUUUUUUUUUUUUAUUAUUUCUUGAUCAUUUGGCUAAUUAAUAUUAUAGAAACCUUAAAUAUACAAAAUAUUGGAAAUACGUUCUAGGUGAUAAAUAUAUAAUUUCUGUAGUUACAGAUGGUUAUGUGCAUCAGACUGAAAGUGGAAGUGCAAUCAACCCCUAUUUUCAGACCAAACUUUCCAUGAAUAAAUAGAUAGUUUUAAAAUUUUUACAGUAGUAGUACAUCCAUAUAUACUAGUUAAGGACCCAUGCGAAUGCCGCGAUAUAAAAUAUUCUAAUCAUAAAAUUUAGUUAAUUUUUAUUUUUUAUAAAAAUUUAUUAGCUUGUUUUUUUAAUUAAAUAAGUAAUAAUUAAAUUAAUUUAAAUAAAAAUAACUUAAGUUAGUACAUAUACGACAUAAAUUUUUAUAUUAGAUUAUUAGUGAUCAUCUCGUUAAUAACUACAAAUGUAUAAGUGAAUGUGUUAAAUUAUUAAGCUAAUUACAACACAAUUUAUUAUUUUGUAAAGGUAUGUGUAUCAACUAGGAUUCAAACUAGGAACUUCGGGUAUCAAGUAACAAGUCAUUUGCUGCUUGCGCUAGGGACGGUCGAUAAUGACCUCUCAUAGUUGAAGAGGAGAGUUAGGGUGACACAUGUUUUAUGUGCUUUCCUUAACUCUCCUUUCAGAUAUUACUGGUGAAGGCAUCCACAUGUUACAGUGGAUUGGUACGGCAGAAAUAAAUAAAUAAAUAAAGCUAAAGAAAGAAAAAAUAAUAAAAAAAAGAGUCAAAGAAUAAAAAUAAAAACAAACUAAAAAAGAAGCAGCAACUAUUGCAGUAAAAGUAUAAGAAUAAAAGUAUAAGAAAAGUAAUAAAAAAAAAAAAAGAAUAAAGGCAAAAUAAUAAGAAUAAUAAAUUCAAUUUAUAGCAUCAGUGAAAGUUGAGAAUUAAAAUGUCAUAUGCCUGAGAGUUUGAUUCAGAAAUUGUAACUAAUUAAAGCUUGAGAACUAAUAAUUUGAGCAAGAAAUAAUAAAGCAUUAAAGUUUGAAAAUUAAAGUAUUACGGAUUCUAUAAUUUGAGUAAGAAUUAAUAGCGGCCAUUUGAUAAUCGCCGUUAUCAAAUUAUCGCUAAAUUAUUAUUUUAUUGUAGUGACUGUACUCAUAUAUUUUGUCUUGAAUGAGAAUUCUUUUUAUUUUGGAAGGAUGUUGCAUUCGAUGUGCGAAAAAAUUUCGAGCCCGCUAAUCCCGUGGCGCGUCUUGCCACUCUGGCUCGUUGCCGUCACAUCCUGUCGAGGGAACAAGAAACCGGCAGAUCGCGGAGUUUGCCCACUUUCUCUUUCUCCCUUUCUCCCUAUCUGACUAUUAGGGGUGGAAACGAGCCGAGCUCGAGCGAGCUUAUGUCAGCUGCCGAGCAAGCUUAAUCCGAGCUUUUCGAGCUUAUAUAUAUAUACAUAUAUAUAUCAUCCCGAUAACACGAUAAUCCUCGUGUUGUUUGGAACACAAGGAUUCAAGAAUUGACAGGUAGUUUAAACUAACUACCAAUCCCACUUUCUCUCUUCUCUUUAACUUCUUUUCUUUAAAAGAAGUUAAAGAGAAGAGAGAAAGUGGGAUUGGUGGGUAGUUUAAACUACCCGCCAACUCUUGAAUCCUCGUGUUCCCAUCGGGAUGAGAUAUAUAUAUAUAUAUAUAUAUAUAUAUAUAUAUAUAUUACAUAAAAUUAAUAUAUAUCCAAAAUUAAAUUAAACCCGACAAUAACAACCGAGUAUUUUAUUUGGGUUGUUCAUGUUGGCACGUUAACUCGGGUUGAGUGUUAAAUAUAUUGUGUGAGAGAAAAAGUCUGAAAGUGACAACGUGUAUUGGGAUUUUGCACUAUUGUAAGUUUAAAGGUUUAGGGAUUAAAAAAAGGGGGGGAGAGAGAGAGAAGAGAGAGAGAGUCUGGGAGUGGGUCAAUCCGCCAGUGGGAUCGAGUGUAAAGAACGUUAAUAAAAUAUAAAACUUGAUAACCUGUACAACGUAGUUUAACAUCCAUUACAAGAUAUUUUUAAUUUGAUGACUAAUAUAUUACAGUUCUUAAAGUUAGCCGAGCAAAUCUCGAGCUCGAGCCGAGCUGAGCUUUAAUCCGAGCGAGCUCGAGCGGAGCUUAAUUAAAGUUCAGCUCGAACUCGGAUCUAAAUCCGAGCCUUAAUUAAAGUUCGGCUUAAACNCUCUCCCCCUCUCUCUCGCACGCCACUCUCUCUCUCUCUCUCUCUCUCUCUCUCGCACGAACACCUAUCAUCUUCUAUUGCGCCGUCCUCCCAGGUAAUCAUCACGAUCUCCUUCCCUCCAUUCGUCAUUUCUGUAAAAAAUAAUAUUCAAAUGACCACAACAAGGGUAAUUUUGAAAAAAACUAUACUUUUAUGUCAGGAUUACUAAAUUUUAUAAACUGAACCAAACGUAUUAAUGCUAUAAACACUGUAAUCUAAUAUUACAUUACUGAAUUAAACCAAACGUACUAAUACAGCAUCAGUAGUAAUCUCACGCCGAAAUUCAAGAUACUUGGAUAUGUCGAGAUACUUUGUAAUAUUACAUAACUCGAACCAAACGGGCCCUUAAUAUAAUCAUUCUUCUUCUUUUGCUAUUGUCGUUAUUUUUUUGUUUCGUCUUUUUUCUUCUAAUAACUUUGUUAUUAUUGUUGUUCUUGCUGGUUCUUCUUCUUGGUUCUUCUUCUUUAGCUUCUUUUUUUAUUUUUUUAUAUUUUUACUGCUACUAUAAAUAUAUUUAUUAUUCUUAUGUUUGUGUCUUUAUUCUUUUUUCAUUUCUUUUAUAUUUAUUAUUCUUAUGUUUGUGUCUUUAUUCUUUUUUCAUUUCUUUUUAUGCUUUUAUUCUUAUAUUUUAUUGCACCACCUGUUGCUGCUGCUGCUUCUUCUUCAACUAUUACUUUUUUUCUAAUUCUUUAGUUUCUUUAAAUUUUUUUAUGUUCUUAUUGUUUUUUUCCUUCGGUUUUUUUCUUAUUUAUUUGUCUCCACAUAACUGACUUCCCGCAACGCGCCGGUGUCUUCACUAGUUUUACAAUACCAGCUAGUCUACUACAGACCGUAACCCAAGAACAACUUUUAUAACUUGAGCUCUCUAUAUUACUCUUCAGAUUUGCUAGAAUUCAACUCUUUAAGAGCAGACAACUUAGCAUGCCAUCAAAAUAUCUAGUUUAAUGAUCCGCGUUUUGUCGAUGUCAUAGAUUUCUUUGCAUAAAUACAUGCUUAAUCUGAAAGCGAUAACUUAAUCAAACGAUUUAGUAAUCCAUCAUUCCCAAUUUAAAGAAACCAAAGUUGAUAAAUCUAGUGGAUUAGAAUGGAUUGUCAAACAUGGCCUUCAAAUAAUUAGCUGCAAUAGUUAGGAAAUGCGCGAUAAGAUUGGCAAAGCACAAAACAAACAGCGAGCGAUUUUGUAUCCACUAAACUCCUCUAAAGCUGAUCUAGCUAUUAUGUCCAGAUGAUACAAUUUGGAACUCAGAAUAUGGCAUGUAAAAACAGUUUUCCUAGGGUAAUAAGGUUAACAUGCAAUGGCUAGUAUAACUCAAUUCUUAAUUCUUCACUUAACAACUUGGGACUAACGAAUUUGUCCAGGUCUAAAUCAACAAACCAGAAUUUAGACCGUGCGCAUUUCAAUUUCCGCAACUUGGACCAUUUGUGAACGACAGAGUCGUGCGCGAACAUGUUUGCUUCACAUUAUCAGUUGUUUGGUCGAGAUCUCAGCUGGAAAGUGCAUCUAUAAAGAUAGCANUUAUUCUUUUUUCAUUUCUUUUUAUGCUUUUGUUCUUAUAUUUUAUUGCACCACCUGUUGCUGCUGCUGCUUCUUCUUCAACUAUUACUUUUUUCUAAUUCUUUAGUUUCUUUAAAUUUUUUUAUGUUCUUAUUGUUUUUUUCCUUCGGUUUUUUUCUUAUUUAUUUGUCUCCACAUAACUGACUUCCCGCAACGCGCCGGUGUCUUCACUAGUUUUACAAUACCAGCCCAAGAACAACUUUUAUAACUUGAGCUCUCUAUAUUACUCUUCAGAUUUGCUAUAAUUCAACUCUUUAAGAGCAGACAAUUUAGCAUGCCAUCAAAAUAUCUAGUUUAAUGAUCCGCGUUUUGUCGAUGUCAUAGAUUUCUUUGCAUAAAUACAUGCUUAAUCUGAAAGCCAUAACUGAAUCAAACGAUUUAGUAAUCCAUCAUUCCCAAUUUAAAGAAACCAAAGUUGAUAAAUCUAGUGGAUUAGAAUGGAUUGUCAAACACGGCCUUCAAAUAAUUAGCUGCAAUAGUUAGGAAAUGCGCGAUAAGAUUGGCAAAGCACAAAACAAACAGCAAGCGAUUUUGUAUCCACUAAACUCCUCUAAAGCUGAUCUAGCUAUUAUGUCCAGAUGAUACAAUUUGGAACUCAGAAUAUGGCGUGUAAAAACAGUUUUCCUAGGGUAAUAAGGUUAACAUGCAAUGGCUAGUAUAAUUCAAUUCUUAAUUCUUCACUUAACAACUUGGGACUAACUAAUUUCUUACAAUGUCAUCCUUAAGCAGGAAGAAUUUGUCCAGGUCUAAAUCAACAAACCAGAAUUUAGACCGUGCGCAUUUCAAUUUCCGCAACUUGGACCAUUUGUGAACGACAGAGUCGUGCGCUAACAUGUUUGCUUCACAUUAUCAGUUGUUUGGUCGAGAUCUCAGCUGGAAAGUGCAUCUAUAAAGAUAGCACAGAGAGACAUUAGGUAGGCCAACAAAAUCUGCUUAACUGAAAAUUUGGAGGGCAAAGUAAAUAUCUACCAAACAUGAAGUGAUUACCCCCUAUUCUUUCUAAUUCAUAGUACAAUUCAGACAUGAGAUCUCUUAUUUCUUGCAACAGCUAAAGCCUAUUUCUGCCAAAUAUAAAACUGCAGUACAGUUUGGCCCAAAUAUCUCUUUCAAUUGCCAAAAAAUCAACAAAGAUUAACACUGUAAGUCAUAAAAUUGUUAGAUUACCUCAAACUUGGAAUGCAUUUGGUUCUGAACGACAAUCUAUUAGCGGCAAAGCAUCAAUGGUAAAGCAGCAACCAGGAGAAGAACAGAAUUAUAAAUGACACCUUAAGAUUCUAGAAUUCGCAAACCAUGUACCUUGAAAUUAAACUGAACCAUCAUCAAAGACCAGAAGCAACUCCAUCUACGAGAAAUAAACCUUCCAAAUUGCCCUACCGUUCAAACCUUUAUAUAUGGAUUGGAUCGAAGAACAGGGAAUAAAAAUGCAGAGUUUCCAAGAUCCACAUUUAAUUAACUGUUUGUUUAGCAUGACCAUUUUCUCUAUUGCAAGAAGCAAACAACAGCAUUUGAAACAGGAAAAGCCCUCGUCUUUUUCUAUGGCAGCAAACUGAAAUAAAAUUUCAUUGACUUGUCUGUCUCCAAGAACUAAGUAGGAUUUAUUUCUCACAAAUAUAAAGGCAAACAAGCAAACUCAAUAUAUUGUUAUAUUUCAACUGCCUUUCAGACAAAUACCAGUCAAAAAUUAGUAGAAGCCAAUACCACUUAGAAUAUAAGGGCAACAUAUUUGCAUAAGGUAUGUGUUUUACACUACAAAGUUUUGUAUCUCACACCGAACCCUACAAGUAGAUAAAUUUGACUCUUCACGAGAGCACCAACAAACUCCCAUAUUCAGGAAAAGUAGCAUCUUUUAUUUGUUAAAGCAAAGAUAAGAAGAUAAAAUGCUACAAUAUAACUUGUUAAAGCCUCCAAAGUACUAACAUCAAUAACUAAGAACUUAAAAUAAAGAAAAACCAGCAAUCAAAAUAUAUAUAUAUAUAUAUAUAUAUAUAUAUAUAUUUCCCACCAUUAUGCACGACCAAACAGCACCUGAAUGGCGAAGCAGCCUGGUGUAGAGCAUGACAUUCGGCCUACAAAGCAAAUAAGGAAACAUCUAGUUGUGUUAUUGCAAAGAGACAGAAAAUUUAAACAAACAAGUAUUGCUAAUUAUAUUUCAUUAAUUAGCAUAAUCAUAUAAAGAUAACAUGGAGCAUGUUAUCCAACACUUUAUUAGGAAUACUCUCAGGAAGCAUUAGAAACUAUUCUGCAACAAUUGAUAUGCAAGAAAUAAUUAGCAUCUCUUCCUGAAUCUUAUGAGAAUCAGUAAAAGAUAUAGUCCUCCUAACAAUUCAAAAGCCUCAUCCAAAUUCCUAAUUUUACAAGUCCAAGAAGUUACCAAUUUGGACAAAUAUAUAGCUAGCUAAUGUCGUAGCUGAAAUUUUUUUUCAUUAAAAAAAUUAGCACAAUGAGGAAAAAAUAAAAACUUAACAUAAAACAAAGUUGAACAUUGAUGUAACUAAGCAUUGGAAGUAGAAAUACAAGACGAACAGAAUAAAUAAUUUUAGCAUAGGAAACCUCAUUCUCCUUUUCUACAACAUAUCGCAUGACGCAUGGUUUUCAAGUUAGACAACAGAUAUCGAAUUAAAUAACAAAUGCUCUAAUUAAUUUAAGUACUAUAUACACAAACUAUGACCUAACUAUACAAACAAAUAAAUAAAAAUAUACCUUUACUAACUCGCAGUUGGCUUGAGUCUACAAAGAGCAACUCUAAUGUUACGUUGCACCCCAUAAAACACCUUCGCCUGGAAGAUUUUCCACUCAGCUUCACUGUCAACUGCUUGGAAGGUAACAUAGUACCAAAGUCCUGCUGCGACACUACACGUUGCCUUCUCUAUUUUUACAAACACAUAACUCAUAUCCUACAUUACGAAAACAUCACGAAAUCAAUUUUAUCAAAAAAAAAAAAAAAAAAAAAAAAAACACACAAAGAAAUAAACAAUAAGAAAAGACAUACACAAGGCAACAUGAACAUACAUUUUCCUUAUUAAAAUGUUCGAUUGCCAAUUUAGUACAUCUGAGAAGAAUUUCAUCAUCAAAAUCCGUGAUCGCCGUAAGGCCAAACUCACAAGUGCCUGGAAAUGGAUCAACAUCGAAUCCCUGUAAAAGACAUGUAUUAACAAUUAGUGAAAAAAAGGUUAUGAAACUUUAACUCUCAAAAAGAAGACAAUAAUUAUUAAACACCUCGCUUUCCUUGAUUUGUUUGUAAUAUCUGUCCCAUUCUUCGCGAGUCCUACUGCGAUUACCAUUAGGCCAAACAUAAACCUCAUCUUCCUCUGAAGUAUGCUCAUAAACCCUUUGAUCCUUCUCGUUCCCUUUCUCUUCCUCCAUUUCACUUUGGGUAUCUUCCUCCUUGCCCUCUUCCCUCAUCUCUUCGCUUUCUUCCUGCAGUUUCAACUUCUUCUGCAGCGGCCCUUCAGGUAUCAGGUUCUUGGAAUUCUGCCUGUAUCACAAAAUGAAAUAUAUCUAUCAUAAAAAAUUUAAACAAAUUUCAAUCAAAACUAACGACAAUUUAAAAAAAAAAAAUCUUAAAUUGGCUCAAAUAGAAGAAGAAUUUAGCCGAUGCAUACGAAACAGAGACCAAACAGGGCAUAAUUCAGGUGAUACAUUCCUAGAUUAGGAUUUUCUAAUUACGGAAUAAUAUAUUAUUUAUUUUAAAAUAUUUCAGUUGUUUCCAAUAAAGUGUAAUUAGGGUUAGGUUAUAGAAAUGUGUAUCUUUUAGGGUUUGGAGAAUAAGAAGAAAUUGGUCGUGUUGUUCUCUUCUCCCUUAUCUAUCUUUAUCUCUCUAAUAUCUCUCUCUUUAGGAGGUUCGAUCCCCUCGAAGUGAUCGUUUAUCCCUAUUGAUACUAAUAUCUCUCUCUUUAGGAGGUUCGAUCCCCUCGAAGUGAUCGUUUAUCCCUAUUGAUACUAAUAUCUCUCUCUUUAGGAGGUUCGAUCCCCUCGAGGUGAUCGUUUAUCUCUAUUGAUACAAUACAACGGUAUCAAUUGGCAUCAGAGCCUUGUAUGUAUAGUGUAAACUCCAGCAAAAAAAGAUUUUCUGAAGAAGAUGAAUGGGGAUUUCAUAAGAAAAGAAGAGAUGAACGCUCGGUUUUCCAAUGUGAAGGCCCAACUCAACAAAGUGGAGACCGAGGUAAAGCUCACUAGCGAUUCUAUUAAUGAUCUCAAAAAUUUGAUCAUCCCUAUGAGCACGAAGAUGGAUUUGCAGCCGCAUACGCCAUUUGAAGAUACAUUCGUCUCGAAUUUCGACAAAAAUCAUCCCUUGCUCCCAACUCCUAUUAAGAAGGAAGCAUUGAUCCUAUUCAAAAUGUUCGUGACUAUCAGGCUCGACUCGAAAUGCUUGCCAAUCGCACUUAACAUUUUUCAUAAGUUUCUUGCCAAUCGCACUUAACAUUUUUCAUAAGUUUCUUCAUUAGUGGGCUGAAGGAGGAUCUAAAGUAUAACGUCCGAGCCUUCCGACCAACUUCUAUAUCAGCUGCUAUUGGUCUUGCUCGUCUACAAGAGGAGAAGUUAAUAGCUCAACAUCGUAUUAUGAAGCCUAAGCCUUCCCUUUUGUGCCCUUCCAUGACACCAAUAUCUAAUGAGGCGCUUCCACCCAUAAAGCGCCUUACACCGGCUAAAGCAAAAGUAAGAAGAGAUCAAGGCCUUUUGCUACAAUUGUAUGAAAAAUAGUCCUGGACAUCGAUGAAAAUCAAAGCAACUAUUUUUGAUCGAGGCCGAACGUGAUGAAAACAGAGAAGAUCUAAAGAGGAUAGGCAAAGGUUGAGGAUUUUCCAUCUUGAGGGCAAGGUGGCUAUCGAGGGCGGUGGAAUGACAUAUUCCUAGAUUAGGCUUUUUAAUUAUGGAAUAAUAUAAUAUUUAUUUUAGAACAUUUCAGUUAUUCUCAGUAAAGUGUAACUAGGAUUAGGUUAUAUAGAUGUGUAUCUUCUAGGGUUUGGAGAAAAAAAAAAAUUUGACCGUCUUGUUCUAUCUUCCCUCCCGUUCUCUUCCCUCUUAUCUUAAUCUCUUUAAUAUCUCUCUCUUUAGGAGGUUCGAUCCCCUCGAAGUGAUCGUUUAUCCCUAUCGAUACGGUAGAACCGUAUCAUCAAGCUAAAUUUCGUAAAUAAUUUUUUGGAAGGACUAUUUUUAUAAUUAUAAAAUAUGUUAUAAGUAUAUUAAUAAAAGAAAAGUCAACCAGCCAUCAUAAUCAAAAUAAUCAAAUGCAUAUCAAACGGCACAAACGGCAUUCUAAUCAUUUAUUACAAUCCAAAAUUGAUCAGAGUCAAACACAUAUCAAAAUCGCACAUAAAAAAAAAAGCACAUCCUGACAUAUGUGUACAGAAUAUGGUAACAAACGAGAUGUAUACCUUUGCCAGGUAAAGACAAUCUUCAGGAGAAGCAAGGCCUUCGCGAAUAAAGGCGGUGCGAAGGCACAGGAGAAGGAGACUCAGACUUGCGCUGCAAGUUUUGAUUUUAAUUUAGAGUAAACUUCAAGUCCCAUCCAUGUAGUUUCGCACUUCCUCAUUUUAGUACUCUAUAAUUUAAAGUGUAUCAAUUUAGUGCCCUCUGGUUUUAUUUUUCUCUUUUCAUCAACUUCUUCGUUAAUAUUUCGUUAAAUUAUAUACAAAAAAACUUCAGAUACCCACCUAGGUUUAUCGAAUAUUUACUUUAAUACUCUUUAGUUUUAACUUUGUCAUUGAUUUAAAGAAAAAAAUUAGUAGAAUUGAUAAUAAAAGGAUAAAAAUAAAACCACAGGACGCUAAAUUGAUACACUUUAAAGUAUAAAAUAAUAAAAUGAGAAAAUGUGAAAUCACAGGGGUGAUAUUUGAAAAUUUUCUUUUAAUUUUUAGUUUUUUGUUUUAGCAGUGGGCGGUGGCGUCGGGUGCUUCCCAUACGUGCGCUGCUGGCCCGGUACUUGGCAAAAGCCAAAACCACCUGAGGAACGAAUCACAUCCCCAGUGACGUUUCUGCCCUACUUUUGGAACAAAAGGCCAAAAAAAAAAAAACUUUAAACUAACGUAAAAAAGAUUAUGAACUUUAGUUUUCUUUUUUGUUUUUUUCCCAAUUAGAAUCUUAUUAUUCUAUUUGAAUUGGAUUCUAAUUCGGUUUCAGAUUUUGAAUUCCGAAAUUUUUCGGAUUCAAAUUCAGAUUUACUAUUUUUUUUCCCUAACUCAUAUUCAGAUUCGGAUUCAGAUUCGAAUAUGCAAUUUUGAAAUAUCCCAACAAAACUCUCACAACUUUUUUUUAUUUUAGCUUUAAAUAGAAUUAGGCUGGUAUACUUCCGUGCUACCAAAUUGUUUUCAAUAAUGCAACCUCCAAAUCGACGAUCGGCUCCGUUAGACUUGAUUUAUACUAUUGAAAGUAUUUGAAAACUAAAUUUCAUAAUUUUUCGACAUCAUUUGUCUAGUGAUCAAAAGUUACCAAAAUUGACAAUUUUAAUAGUCGACGUGAUGUAUUUGUGAAUUUAACGGUGUAAAACAAUUCAAAUCUGAUAAAAUCUUUAUAAAAAAUUCUUUUCACUAUUUAGAGUAAGAUCAGUACCUCUGAUCUUAAAUCAAGUCUUUUAUCAUCAUUUUUUAUAAGUUUUUUUAUUUUCAGUCGUUUAUUUUAGACUACUCAUUGAUAGAUAAAUAAUGUCGACAAAUUAUGAAAUUUAGUUUUCAAAUACUUUUAAUAGUGUAGAUCAAGUCUAAUGGAGCCGAUCGUCGAUUUGGAAGCGGCAUCAUUGAAAAUAACUUGGUAGCACUGAGACCUCUGUGCUACCGAUAGUAUACCAGCCGGACUCCUUUAAAUAUUAAUUAAAUAAUAUAAGUGGUAUGGUAUCCAAUGUUGAUUUAGGGGCCGUUUGGUUCAGGAACAAAGCGGGAAUAAAUACUUGUUCCUUUUUUUGUUUCCAGAUGCUAUGUUUGGUACUCGAGAACAAGCAGUUUUCAAGUCUCUGGAAUAAGCAAGUAUAAUCCGGUAUAAGUUUUGAAUUGUUAUUCCAACUUUUUUCUAGAACAAGCUUGUUCCCAAGUAGAAACAAGAUUAAUUAAAGUUUAAAUUUAAUUUUAACUAUGAUAUUAAAUUAUUAAUUAAUCUAAUUAAUAUAUUAGAAUUAUUAUCCAUUGUUUAAAUAAUAAAGUAAUUAAUUAAUUAAUUUAUUAUGUAUAAUUAAUUAGCUAAUUAAUUAUUAAUAAUUUAAUGUGUUUAUCUAUAAAUUAAUUUUUAUAUUGAUCAACCAUUAAUAUUAUUAUUAUUCUAAUUAAUUUUUUAAUUAGUUAUCAGACUAAAAUAAUUUACUAACUAAUUAAAAAUCUAAAUUAUUUUUUAUAGUUAAUUAAUUAAUUGAUAUAUUUUUAUUAUCUUCUAUAAUAUUCAUAGGUAAUAAAUUUAUUAAUUUAUUAAAUUAUUUUAAUUAAUAUUUUGAUGUUAAUUAACAGGAUAAAACAUUUUUAAUUUAAAAUUAUAACUCUUGUUUUUUCUGUUUCAAUCUAAUCAUCCAAACACUAUUUACCUUAUUUUCAAAAACAAUCUAAUUUUUGUCUAAAUGCAAAAUUAGUCUAGUUUCUGUUUAUAUCUAAACUUAUAUCUAUUUGUGAAAUAAGUAGUUUUUACUCGUAUCUGAACCAAGAUUCUUUUUUAUUAGUUCGGUUUGGACUACUAUUGAUGUGACAAACUAUUUAUUUACCUUAUAGUCUCUCUUCUUCUUUUUUUCCUUAUUUCUUUAAUUUAUGUUUUUUUUUUAUUAUUUUGAAGUGGUGGUUUCAUCACAAACAAAUAUCUUCCUUCGUUUCUUUGUCAUUGUACCAUCAACUAAAACCUUUUCUUAAAAUAGAGAUCAAAGGUUGUGACUAUUUGCUUAGGAGGCCGUUUCUAGAAGAAGGAAUGCAAGCUUACAACAAAAUUCUAUUAUGUGCGGAAUGGCAAUCUUGGUGGGUCUGCUCCUACAGGCAACCAUUAUUUGCAGCCGUAAGGUGGAGUGAGGGUUUUGAUGCGGUAUGCUUUGAGGUUGAUCUGAACUUUCAUAGUACAAUCAGAGGUUAAAUUUUGUGUGAAAGUUGCAGAUUUGGGCUUCAGCUCCCUAUGGGAGAAGAGUAAAAUUACGCUGUUGUUUUCUGAAAUAUUGCAUAGCCCCCCGACCUCCACCACCUUGAUAUUUAACAGUUUGUUUUGAUUUUGAGUGACCAAGUAAAUUUGAUUUGCCUAAUGUCUAUCUUUUUUUUAUUUUUUUUCUUUCUUUCUUUCUUUCUUUCUUUUUUUAGCUACUUGCUUUUGCUUCUCCUCUACUUACCACUAUAAUUUUAUGGCCUUUGAAUCAUUUGAAGCAUUUUGGUUGUUUUCAUUUUAGUCUUUACUGUGUCGUGAUUAUCUAACAAACUCUUUAGGUUAGCUGCAAAAGAAGUGCCUUUUAUUGUUGAACUACAAUGGGGGUGCCGUAUGCUGCUCUUGUUGUUGCUAUUAUUAUUAUUAUUAUUGUUGUUGUUGUUGUUGUUGUUGUUGUUGUAGUUCUUCUUCUUCUUCUCUUAUGUUGUUGAACUAUAGAAGGGGUGCUUCUUCUUCUUCGUCGUCGUCCUGCUCCUCCUCCUCCUCCUCCUCCUCUCCUAUUCUUGUUGCUAUUAUUAUUAUUAUUGUUAGAAGGGGUGUAAAGUCUCAUCUUUCAUUUUUUGGCUGGAAAAAGUGGUAAAGUUGGAAGACUUUGCAUUCAAGUAUCUCCUGCACUGCAGGACUAUUUUGGCAGGGGCUACUCGGCAGGCAACCAUUUUGCAUUCAGAUUGACAUUACAGAUAUGAGGGACUAGUGCACAAUAUCCAAGAUUCGAGGGAAUCACAUGCCUCCCAAAAUGAGAUAGAGAGAGGGAGAAAAACUCUUAUUAUCGAUGAAUCGGCAUCUCUGAAACAUGGUCAAAUUAGAGAAAAGCUUUCUAAGAAGAGAGGCGAUGAUGGUUCGUAAUCCUCCUCUCAUGCUCUGCCACUCCCUGAUUUAGUAAUGGCGUGGCAACCCUGGAGGUAUAUUGUCUUAAGGUGACAAUUACAUGUUGUGGUUGUGAGACUGGUUUGUGGACAACAAAUGGCAACCAGGUUGGUAUUCAUUGCUAGGUGGGAGUGGUGAAGACCGAAGAUAGGAGGGAGGCUAAUGGAAUAGUUCCCCUGAGCCUCUGCUUCUAAAUCCUGUUUUAUUGUUCUAUGAAUUAUGAAGGCUUUUUGUGGACUUCUGUCCAUGCAUCUUGUGCAGGUAAUAAUUUCUCGAGCUUAUCUUUUUCUGAUAAGGUUGAGGAUUUUCCAUCUUGAGGACAAGGUGGCUAUCGAGGGCGGUGGAAUGACAUAUUCCUAGAUUAGGCUUUUUUAAUUAUGAAAUAAUAUAUUAUUUAUUUUAAAACAUUUCAGUUAUUUUCAAUAAAAUGUAACUAGGGUUAGGUUAUAUAGAUGUGUAUCUUCUAGGGUUUGGAGAAUAAGAAGAAUUUGACCAUCUUGUUCUAUCUUCCCUCCCGUUCUCUUCCCCCUUAUCUAUUUUUAUCUCUCUAAUAACUCUCUCUUUCUUUAGGAGGUUCGAUUCUCUCGAAGUGAUCGUUAAUCCUUAUCGAUACGGUAGAACUGUCUGUAUCAUCAGGCCAAAUUUCGUAAAUAAUUUUUUUGAAGGACUAUUUUUACAAUUAUAAUAUGUUAUAAGUCUAUUAAUAAAAGAAAAGUCAACCAACCAUCGUAAUCAAAAUAAUCAAAUGCAUAUCAAACGGCACAAACGGCAAUCUAAUCAUUUAUUACAAUCCAAACUUAAUUAAUCAGAGAGUCAAACACAUAUCAAAAUCGCACAUAAAGAAAAAAAAGCACAUCCUGACACGUGUACAGAAUACGGUAACGAACGAGAUGUAUACCUUCGCCAGGUGAAGACAAUCUUCAAUACGUCCAUGUCGAGAAGGACAAUGCGGCGGCGGCGGCGGCGGCGGAUGCCGGGCGAAGACGGGGGGAAGGAUCGGACUUCAGGAGGAGCAAGGGCUUCGCGAACAGAGUCAGUGCGAAGAGACAGGAGAAGGAGACUCCGCCGCCGCCGAUGCCGGGUGAAGACGGGGGGAGGAUCGGACAAGGGCUUCGGGAACAGAGGCGCCGAUGCCGGGCGAAGACGGGGAGAGGAUCGGACAAGGGCUUCGGGAACAGAGGCGGUGCGAAGGGACGGGGGAGAAGGAGACUCAGACUUGCUGUGCACGUUUUGAUUUUAGUUUUAGAAAAACUUCAAAUGCCAUCCUUGUGGUUUUAUAUUUUCUGACUUUAAUAUUCUAUAAUUUAAAUUUAAAGUGUAUUAAUUUAGUAUUUUACGAUUUUAUUUUUAUUUUUUUAUUAUAAAUUUUAUUAAUUUUUUUCGUUAAAUCAGUGACAAAGUUAAAACUAAACGGUAUUAAAAUGAAUGUUCGAUAAACCUAGGUGGGGUAUCUAAAAUUUUUUAUAUAUAUUUUAACGAAAUAUUAACGAAAAAGCUAACGAAAAAAUAAAAAUAAAACCGCAGGACACUAACUAGAUACACUUUAAUUAUAGGGUACUAAAAUAAGAAAGUGUGAAACCACAUGAGUGAUUUUUGAAUUUCACCCUUUAGUUUUCAGUUUUUAGUUUUUUUAUUUUAGCAGUGGACGGUGGUGUCGGAUGCUUUCCAUACGUGCGCCACAGGCCGAUACAGACUUGGCAAAAGCCAAAACCACCUGAGGAACAAAUCACAAUCCCAGUGACGCUUCUGCCCUACUUUUGGAACAAAAUGCCAAAAAAACAGCAAAAAACUUUAAACUAAUGUAAAAAGGGUUAAUUACACCGAUGGUCUCAAAUCUUUGCACUAUUUUUCACUUGGGUCCCCAACUUUUUUUUUUGCAAUUGAGUCCCUAAUCUCUUGAUUUUAUUACAAUCACGUCCCGCCGUAAAAAAUACUGUUAAAAUUAAUGGAAUAGAAUAGGCAUCCUUUUGCAUGUUAAUUUUGGUCCAUAAACUUUGCACGUUUUUCACUUUAGUCCCUAAAAAAAAUUUAAAAUUUUAAUUUGAAAUUCAAAAAUAAUAUUAAAAUUAAAAUUUUAAACUAACGAGAAAUUAGAAAUUUGAAUUUGAAUUUAAAGCUAAAUUAAAAUCUUGAAUUGAAAUUUAAAUUUUAAAUUUGAAUUUUAAAUUGAAUCUAAAAUUUGAAUUCAAACUUAAAGUUUUGAUUUUGAUAUUUCAAUUUACAUUUAAAAUGAAAGUUUUGAAAUUGAAAUUUAAAUUUAAAAUCGUAUUCAAAAUUUUGAUUUUAAAUUUAAAUUUGAAUUCAAAAUUUAAAUUUAAAAUUAAGAUUUGAUUUCAAUUCUAAAUUUGAAUUUAAACAUCGAAUUCAAAUUCACAUUUUGAUUUGAAAUUUCAAAUCAAAGUUUGAAAUUAAAUUAGAAUUUAAAAUUCGAAAUGUGAAUUCGAGUUUAAAAUUAAAAUUUUAAAAUUAAAUGUAAAAUCAGAAUUUGAAUUCAAAUUUAAAUUUGAAUCCAAAAUCAAAAUUUAAAUCUUAAAUUAAAAAUCUUGCUUUAAAUUUAUAAAUGUAAUGGGUUAAUUACACCAUUGGUCCUCAACCUUUACACAAUUUUUCAAUUUAGUCCUCAACCUUUUUUUUUUUUUGCAAUCCGCUGACACCCGCCUCUGUGGCGCUGACACGGCGCCUCCGUGGCGCUGACAUGGUGCUGACGUGGUAUUUUCCGUCAAUUUUAAUACCUUUUUGACGGCUGGGACUUAAUUGUAAUGAAAUCAAUAUAUUAGAGACUUGAUUGCAAAAAAAAAAAGAUUGGGGACCAAAUUGAAAAAUAGUGCGAAGGUUUGGGACCAAUGGUGUAAAUAACCCAAUGUAAAAAAGAUUAUAAACUUUAGUUUUCUUUUUUGUUUUUUUUUUUUCUAAUUAGGAUCUUAUUAUUCUAUUUGAAUUUGGAUUCUAAUUCGGUUUCGGAUUUUGAGUUCCGAAAUUUUUUGGAUUCAAAUUCAGAUUUACUAUUUUUUGCCCCAACUCAUAUUCAGAUUCGGAUUCGGAUUCGAAUAUGCAAUUUUAAAAUAUCCCAACAAAACUCUCACAACUUUUUUUUAUUUUAGCUUUAAAUAGAAUUGGAUUCGGAUUCGAAUUCGGAUUCGAAUAUGCAAUUUUGAAAUAUCCCAACAAAACUCUGACAACUUUUUUUAUUUUAGCUUUAAAUAGAAUUAGGCUGGUAUACUAUCGGUAGUACGGAGGCCUCCGUACUACAAAAUUGUUUUCAAUGAUGCGGCUUCCAAAUCGACGAUCGGCUCCGUUAGAUUUCAUAUACGCUAUUGAAAGUAUUUGAAAACUAAAUUUCAUAAUUUUUCGACAUCAUUUGCCUAGUGAUCAAAAGGUAUCAAAAUUGACAAUUUCAUAAUUUUUCGACAUCAUUGGCCCCAAUUUCCCUUUCAAUUGCCAAAAAUCAACAAAGAUUAACACUGUAAGUCAUAAAAUUGUGAGAUUACCUCAAACUUUGCAUUCGGUUCCGAACGCCACUCUAUUAGCGGCAAAGCAUCAAUGGUAAAGCAGCAACCAGGAGAAGAACAAAAAUAUAAAUGACACCUUGAGAUUCUAGAAUUCGCAAACCAUGUACCUUGAAAUUAAACUAAACCAAAAGCAACUCCAUCUACGAGAAAUAAACCUUCACGUACGGAUCGGAAUAGCAAUUCCAACUGUUUGUUUAGCAUGACCAUUUUCUCUAUCGCAAGAAGCAAACAACAGCAUUUGAAACAGGAAAAGCCCUCGGCUCUUUCUAUGGCAGCAAACUGAAAUAAAAUUUCAUUGGCUUGUCUGUCUCCAAAGAACUAAGUAGGAUUUAUUUCUCACAAAUAUAAAGGCCAACAAGCAAACUCAACAUAUUGUUAUAUUUCAACUGCCUUUCGGACAAAUACCAAUCAGAAAUUAGCAGAAGCCAAUACCGCUUAGAAUAUAAGGGCAACAUAUUUGCCUAAGCUAUGUGUUUUACACUGCAAAGUUUUGUAUCUCACACCGAACCCUACAAGUAGAUAAAUUUGACUCUUCACGAGAGCACCGACAAACUCCCAUAUUCAGGAAAAGUAGCAUCUUUUAUUUGUUGAGGCAAAGAUAAGAAGAUAAAAUGACACAAUAUAACUUGUUAAAGCCUCCAAAUUACUAACACUAAUAACUAAGAACUUAAAAUAAAGAAAAACCAGCAAUCGAAAAAAAAAAAAAAUUUACCACCAUUAUUCACGACCAAACAGCACCUGAAUGGGGAAGGCCUGGUGUAGAGCAUGACAUUCCGCCUGCAAAGCAAAUAAGGAAACAUCUAGUUGUGUUAUUGCAAAGAGACAGAAAAUUUAAACAAACAAGUAUUGCUAAUUAUAUUUCAUUGAUUAGCAUAAUCAUAUAAAGAUAACAUGGAGAAUGUUAUCCAACACUUUAUCACGAAUACUAUCAAGAAGCAUCAGAAACUAUUAUGCAACAAUUGAUAUGUAGGAAAUAAUUAGCAUCUCUUCCUGAAUCUUGUGAGAAUCAGUAAAAGAUAUAGUCCUCCUAACAAUUCAAAAGCCUCAUCCAAAUUCCUAAUUUUACAAGUCCAAGAAAUUACCAAUUUGGACAAAUAUAUAGCUAGCUAAUUGUGGUAGCUGAAAUUUUUUUCAUGAAAAAAAAUUAACACAAUGAGGAAAAUAUAGAAACUUAACAUAAAACAAAGUUGAACAUUGAUGUAACUAAGCAUUGGAAGUAGAAAUACAAGACGAACAGAAUAAAUAAUUUUAGCAUAGGAAACCUCAUUCUCCCUUUCCACAACAUAUCGCAUGUCACAUCGUUACAAAUAUCGAAUUAAAUAACAAAUGCUCUGAUUAAUUUAAAUACUAUAUACACAAACUAUAACCUAACUAUACAAACAAAUAAAUAAAAAUGUACCUCUACUAACUCGCAGUGGGCUUGAGUCUACAAAGAGCAACUUUAAUGUUACGUUGCACCCCAUAAAGCACCUUCGCCUGGAAGAUUUUCGGCUCAGCUUCACCGUCAACUGCUUGGAAGGUAACAUAGUACCAAAGUCCUGUUGCGACACUACACGUUGCCUUCUCUAUUUUUACAAACACGUAACUCAUAUCCUACAUUAUAAAAAACAUCAUAAAAUCAAUUUUAUCAAACAAAAAUAAAGACACAAAGAAAAAAACAAUAGGAAAAGACAUACACAAGGGAACAUGAACAUACAUUUUUCUUAUUAAAAUGUUCGAUUGCCAAUUUAGUACAUCUGAUAAGAAUUUCAUCAUCAAAAUCCGUGAUCGCCGUAAGGCCAAACUCACACGUGCCUGGAAAUGGAUCAACAUCGAAUCCCUGUAAAAGACAUGUAUUAACAAUUAGUGAAAAAAAAAAAGGUUGUGAAGCUUUAACUCUCAAAAAGAAGAUAAUAAUUAUUAAACACCUCGCUUUCCUUGAUUUGUUUGUAAUAUCUAGCCCAUUCUUCGUGAGUCCUACUGCGAUUACCAUUCGGCCAAACGUAAACCUUAUCUUCCUCUGAAGUUGCUCAUAAACCCUUUGAUCCUUCUCGUUCCCUUUCUCUUCCUCUAUUUCACUUUGGAUUUCUUCCUCCUUGCCCUCGUCCCUCAUCUCUUCGCUUUCUUCGUGCAGUUUCAACUUCUCCUACAUCGACUCUUCAGGUAUCAGCUUCUUAGCAUUCUGCUAUAUCACAAAAUGAAAUACAUCUAUACAUAAAAAAUUUAAAUAAAUUUCAAUCAAAACUGACGACAAAUUAAAAAAAAAAUUCUUAAAUUGGCUCAAAUAAAAGAAGAAUUUAGCCGAUGCAUACGAAAUAGAGUCCAAACAGGGCAGAAUUCAGGUGAUACAUUCCUAGAUUAGGAUUUUCUAAUUACGAAAUAAUAUAUUAUUAUUUUAAAAUAUUUCAGUUGUUUCCAAUAAAGUGUAAUUAGGGUUAGGUUAUAUAAAUGUGUAUUUUUUAGGAUUUGGAGAAUAAGAAGAAAUUGGCCGUGUUGUUCUAUCUUCCAUCUUGUUCUCUUCCCCCUUAUCUAUCUUUAUCUCUCUAAUAUCUCUCUCUUUAGGAGGUUCGAUUCCCUCGAAGUGAUCAUUUACCCCUAUCGAUACGGUAGAAUCUUGUUCUAUCUCCCCUCCCGUUCUCUUCCCUCUUAUCAAUCUUUAUCUCUCUAAUAUCUUUCUCUAGGAGGUUCGAUUAUCUCAAAGUAAUCGUUUAUCCCUACCGAUACGGUAGAACCGUAUCAUCAGGCCAAAUUUCGUAAACAAUUUUUUUGAAGGAAUAUUUUUAUAGUUAUAAUCUAUUACUCUUUAUGAAUCCCCAAUGUUUUAAGCUGAUGUGUCAUAACCUCCUAAUUUUGAAUUUUUUUUAAUUUAGAAUGAUCAAUUUUAUUCUCUCUCUCAACAUACGUCUCUUCAUCUCCCCCAUUUAAUUUUUAUUUAGAAUGAGUCAUUUUACUCUCUCUCUCAACAUACGUCUCGUCAUCUCCCCUAUUCAAUUUUUAUUUAGAAUUAGCCAUUUUACUCUCUCUCUCUCAACAUUCGUCUCCUCAUCUCCCUCAUUUUAUUCUCUCUUUCUUAACAUACGUCUCUUCAUCUCUUCCAUUUAAUUUUUAUUUAGAAUAAGCUAUUUUACUCUCUCUCUCCAUCGUUGGUAGAUGUACCAAGUGAGAUAUACAAAAAAAUAUUUAAUAUUUUAUUAUUAUUAAUUACUACUAUAGUUUCUAUCCGCUGCAAAGCGCGGGACUCUUCACUAGUAUGAUAUAAGUCUACUAAUAAAAGAAACGUCACAAACAAACGGCAUUCUAAUCAUUUAUUACAAUCCGAACUUAAUUAAUCAGAGAACCAAACACAUAUCAAAUCGCACAUUCAAACAAAAACAAAAAAAAAGAAAGCACAUUCUAACACAUGUGUACGGAAUAUGGUAACGAACGAGAUGUAUACCUUUGCCAGGUGAAGACAAUUGUAAUGUCUUGAAGAAUAAGUAGUUUAAUAGUUAGUAGGGGAAGGAAGUAAAAAUGUCAACUUUACAAUAGUAAGACCAGAAAUAAGGACGGAAGUAGUAGGCGGAUCGGGCGGUCGAAUUACCGGAUCGGGCGUAAAACGCAGACCCAAGCCCCGCCGGGUUGCGGGUGAUGCGGAGAAGGCAGGAACCGACGCCCACUUACCGUUAUGCAUGGGUCAGGCGAACCGGAGCUCGGAUCGAGGCGAAAUGGCAAACCCAAGACCUGCAGGGUUGCGGGUAGUGAGGAGAAGUGCGGACCCGAGUCCGUUUGCCUGACAAUCAGCAGAAGAGAUCGGGAAAGCCCGGGAAAGGGCCCAACUACCAUGAGAUUUCAGCCCAUACGAGUUUUUCCUCAAUUUAUCACUUUUGCUGUUUAGCCCUCAUAGACUAGGUGCGUUUUUAGUUUAGUCCAAAUUACCAAGUACUAUAAAUACCAAAGUAUAAUGUAAACAGGGUAUCAAUAAAAUGAAAUAUUGAAUCUGCUUCUUCCCCAAACUCUCUUCUUCUCUAAACUCUCUUUUCCCAACUCUUAUCUUUUCUCUACCUCUCAUCCACACCAUGUCUAAACUCUAAACACAAUGAAUAAUUCGCCGUGUUUAAAAAAAUACAAUUAUAUGUAUUACGAAAAAAAUAUAAGUAUUAAAAAAAGGGAAUACAAAAAAUAUAAGCACGGAACAUGGUGAAUGGACCAUUCACCGUAAUUGAACACGAUGAAUGAUUUACCGUGUCUAAGAAAAAUAUAUCAUUUACCGUGUUUGAAUGCGGUGAAUGAUUCACGGUGUUCAACUUAUCACCCCUCCAGCUUUUACAAAAAUAAUUUAUAAAAUUUAAAUUUUAUAAAAAUAUAUUUGUUUGUUAUAAUCGGAACGACGAAAAGUAGAUCCAGAAAAUAAUUUAAUGCAGGAAAAGAAAAGAUAAGGAAAGAGUACACCGAUAUUUACGUGGUUCGGCCAACAGCCUACGUCCACGGGCGAAGACGGAGCAAAUACUUUGUUAAUGUCGAAAAGGCGGAAUACAAAGAAGAUUUCUCGAAAAAUAACCAAAGCUUAAUUAGAUCGAAACGCCGCAACAAGCAACUCCAAAAUUGGCUUCUCUCUCACCCGUACGACGUAUGGCUAAAUUAAAGUAGCCGCGGAUUCUUGACCGUACGAAACGUGCAUAGCUUGGCUUAAUUAGAGUGUGGCUUCUAAUCAGCCGCAGCUCCUGACCGUACGGACCGCAAGACCAACAUGGAUUGCUUAAUUAGAGCCCCGGCAGCUCAGAAUAAUUAGCACAUGGCAUCUAAUUUUGGUCGCGGCAUUAUUAACUUAGCCGUAGCGUAUCUAUUACUCUAUGUGAAUUCCCAAUAAUUUUGCCACGUGGCAAGUUUUUCUCCACUCUCACUAAUCUUUUUUUUGAAUUGAUUUUUACUCUUGGCUUUUCCACUCCCAUCUUCUUUAUUCAAUGACAUGUAAUUAAUGUGCUUUUUAAUUUAUACGUUUCCUAUUCAAAAUUACUUUUUUUGAAUUGAUUCUUACUCUUGGCUUUUCUCCUCCCCUCCUCUCUAUUCAAUGACAUAUAAUCAAUGUGCUUUUUAAUUUAUACGUUUUCUCUUCACAAUUAGUCCUUUCUUCUCCCACAAAUAAUUCCUAACAUGCAAAAUUAGAAAAGGAGAAGAUGAAUAGUUACUACUUUCAGAUCUAGAGAUUGGGGAAUAGUAAGGGAGUUUUCCAAGCUCUAAUCCGUGCCAAUCCGACUCGACCCGAACCCCCCCCCUCCGAAUCAAAAGAGUGUUUAUAGGGUUUCUAUUAAUGCCGAUCUCUUCGGAUUUAUGGAAAAAUAAGGUAAUCGAACGGUUUUUCAAUAGAGAAAGCUAAUUGGAGAGCAAUAAUGGACGGUUCGAGGGGUAGGUUUGGAAAACGAAAAUCCUAAACCUAAUUUUUCUUUUCUUUAUUUUAAUCUCGAAUUCUUACUAUGUAUUCAUUUAGAAUUUAAUUUAUUUGCAUUAUUUUUUAUAUGGUGAUUGUAUCAAUUAAGGACUUGAUUUAUAUGCAUUAUUUUGAUUAAUUUAGAGGUUAUUUUUUAUUUCAUAAUUGAUGUGGCAGGUUUGGCCCACAACUUUUGAUCAUUCCAUGCUCAAAAGGGUGCAAAAUUUUGCAAAUUUUUAUCAGAUUUUCAUCGCCAUCGUCGUCAUCAUCGCAACAUUAUUAUCUCCAUCUUCAUACGACCUUUGUAGGUUUUUUUUUUUUGAAUGUUGAUUCUGGGCAGUUAUCAAUUUUCAAUGGCUAUAUUGGUUAGUUCAAUUCAUACGUUUCCCUACCCAAAAAAUAAAACACUCUUAAAUUUUUAUUUUCCAAACUUCUUUCUUCUUACUCUUCAAUAUUUUUUAAUUUUUUUUCUAUUAUUUAUCCGCGGCAUCGCGCGGGUUAGUACACUAGUAUAUAUAUAUAAUACAUGUUUUCUAAUUAAAGUCUAAUUCUAAUUAGAUUAGAAUUACACUCCUAAUUAUAAUCUAUAAAAUAUAUAUGCUAAAUUAAAUCUAAAUUAUAUCCAAUCCCAAAUAAAUUAGGAUUUAACUCUAAUUUAGAUAACUACAAAUCUAAACCAAAUAUAAAAAUAAUUUACUAUAUUUUGGCAACCUGUAUGUAAUUAACCUAAAAAUUUUCGUCUUAUGAGUGGAGGAGGACAUCAGUAAUUAAAGGGCUUUCUUUGCAAAUAGCCCCCUGAAAAAUUUUAUUUGCGCAAAUAGCCCCGUCUAAAAAUUAUUUGCAAAAAUGGCCCUGGCCCUGCCACGCCAGCGCCACGUCAGCGCCACGCGAGCAGGGCCUGGGCCAGGUGGCUAAGUUGAACACGGCAAUUGGUUCACCGUGUUUAGACACGGUGAACCAAUCACCGUGCUCAUUGUAUUACUCCCGCCCACGACGGGGUGUUAGUAUUACAUUAGACACGGUGAUUCGUUCACCGUGUCUAAACACGGUGAACCAUUCACCGCGUCUAAACACGGUGAACUAUUCACCGCGUUUAGACACGGUGAACCAAUCACCGUGUCUAAUGUACUACACACCAUUUCGCGGGUGCCAAAUAAGGCAUAGAACACGGUGAUUGGCUCACCGUUGUAUUAGACACGGUGAACCAAUCACCGUGUCCAAUGUAUCACUCCAGCCCAAGGCGGAGGGUUGGUACCACACUUAAACACGGUCGAUACGUUCACCGGGUCUAAACAUGGUGAACUGUUCACCGCAUUUAGACACGGUAAACGGUUCACCGCGUAUAGGACACGGUGAACGGAUCGCCGUGUCCAAUGCAUGGGCCGGGUGCGGCUGCGAGAAAAUCUAACACGGCCUGGCCCAGUUCGUUAACCAAGCGCCUAUGGCCCAAUAAAGAAAGUCGGGCCAGAUCUAAAAGUGCGGCUGCGAGAAAAUCUAACACGGCCUGGCCCAGGAACCGAAUCAAUGCACGGGCCGGGUGCNCCUGGGCCAGGCCGUGUUAGAUUUUCUCGCAGCCGCACUUUUAGAUCUGGCCCGACUUUCUUUAUUGGGCCAUAGGCGCUUGGUUAACGAACUGGGCCAGGCCGUGUUAGAUUUUCUCGCAGCCGCACCCGGCCCAUGCAUUGGACACGGCGAUCCAUUCACCGUGUCCUAUACAACCCUAUACCCCGAAAAUGGCUAAGUCUGGUAAACCCUAAACCUUCGAAAAUGGUUAAGUCUGGUAAACCCUAAACCUUGAACUAACUGAAUUGGACACGGUGAACCAUUCACCGUGUCCAAUACAACUAGCCACACCUAAGCCGUAUUUGGCCAAAUAUGGAAGUAAAGGACACGGUGAUUAGUUCACCGCGGUGAAUAGUUCACCGUGUUUAGACACGGUGAAUGAAUCACCGUGUUUAGACACGGUGAACGAAUCACCGUGUCUAAUGUAAUACUAACACCCCGUCGUGGGCGGGAGUAAUACAAUGAGCACGGUGAUUGGUUCACCGUGUCUAAACACGGUGAACCAAUUGCCGUGUUCAACUUAGCCACCUGGCCCAGGCCCUGCUCGCGUGGUGCUGAUUUGGCGCUGGCGUGGCAGGGCCAGGACUAUUUUUGCAAAUAAUUUUUAGAUAGGGCUAUUUGCGCAAAUAAAAUUUUUCGGGUGGCUAUUUAAUUGAAAUUUUCGUCUAAUAAGUGAGGGAGGAGGCCAUCAGUAAUUGGUGUAUUCUAGACUCUUUCGUGUCUUCGGGAGGUACAAGGCGUGCUCCUUUUCUUGCUAUGACGAACUCCCACAUCACCAAAGAGAGGGGAAAAAAAAAAAAAAAAGGAGGGAGAAAACACAUUUCUCUCUCCUUUGAUCCUUUCCCGGAAACCAAACAUCGCAUUACAGAAUCUGGCAAUGGCGGGGCAGCGCGCUGGAUGNGGCCAUCAUUUAUAAUGAUGAUGAUUAUCAUCAUAAUCUUUAAAGGCGCUUCGACUUCAUGUGAGGAUGCCUCCGUUGUCGACGGCAUUGGAUCAGCAUCUUCUUGCUCCCUUUCAUAUUUUUUGAUCCUGGCUGAAGUAACUAUCAUCAUUUUUUCUUUUUCUUUUUAUUCUACUUCUCCAUUUCUCUUCUUGAUGCCUCCUCUUCCUCCUCCUUGUUGUUGUUACUGUUACUGUGUUCGUGUUGGUGUUGGUGUUGGUGGUGGUGGUGGUGGGGGUGGGUGGAGCCUACCGUCUCCCCGCCCUAUCCUGAAAGGUUUCAGGAAAACCCACAAAACUUCGCCUUUCGGGGUAAAGAUGUAUAAAACUUUCCGCAACUAUCAUCCUUUUCGAUCUGACUACCUAACAGUUAAAAGUUUGGAUUUUACUACCCGUUCUUUCAAUUUAUUUGAUUUAAGCCGAUUAGUAAGCAACUAUGAAUUCAUUAAAGUAAGCAAUUAGUUUAAAUUUUGAAGUCCGAUUAUCGUUGACCGACUCAAAUCGAACAAAUUGGAAAGUUCGGUGGUAAAAUCAAAAUUCUGGGAGGUCGGGUGGUCGACUCAAAAUGAGGCAUUUAGGUUCUCGCAGUUGGUGCUUGGCAUGGUCAUGGUAAUCUUGGAAGGCUCUGCUCUUCUACAGGCAACCACUUUUCCAUGCGAUGUCUUGUGGUGUACUGCAGUACUGUGUUUCGUACCAAUUUUUCCGUGCAGGUGUUUUGGAGCGGAAAUUGGAAUCAUGGUAGAUCCGACUGGAACCGUUGGGUUUGCUUAGACUUGCUGAAAUCACUUCAAACCGGUGGAAAUCAAUUCAAACCACACCUGCUAAUGUUUCCAAGGAUUUACAUGUUCUUGGUUGCAAUUUCAUCCAAAUCAGUGAUUUGGAGGAUCCGAAACUGGGUGCAAAGGAGGCUGUGAUGGUUGCCAACCUGGGUGCUAAUGCUUUGUCCAAGCCAUUUCUUCUUUACCCAGUGUAUACAGCGAAAACAGCUCUUUUAAUAUCAUUUCUUCUUCGGCAAAUUGGAUGGUCUGCUAAUUUAGCAGGCAACCUUAUGCUAGCAUCCAUUGUUAUGGUGCAUGGAUUUUAUGAUGCUUUCUGAGUAAGGCCGGGGAAAUGGUUGUGAACAAACAAAUUGAGGCUUUCGGUGGGUCUCUUGCUGUGUCAUCAACCAUAAUAUUGAUUAGCGACAUAUUGCCGUUCACUCAACUUAAUUGGCUUGUGAGACUUGAUAGCAACAAUCAAGAAAGUUCGAGUCGAAAUUGCAACAAUUAUAUUUUGAGGACUAAAGUGUUACCUGCCUCAUUGUUUGAGGACCAAAAGUGUAAUUUAGCCUUAUUUUAUCUAACAAACCACUGAGCAGGUAAGAAUUUUCUUGCUAAAUUGCAUGUUUGGUCCUCAAACAAUGUGUAACACUUUGGUUCUCAAACUUUAAUCUGUUACAAUCUAGCCUGAACUUUUUGAAUUGUCGCAAUCAAGUCCUGCAAUCCAAUUUAGAUGACUAAAUAUUGAUGCAUCAUUGAUGUAAUAGUGAUGUGACAUUUUAUUUUUUGUCUCAUCAUCAAUUACCAUAUUGCUACCGUCACUUUCACAUUACCGACAUAUCAAUAUUUAGUCAACUAAAUUAGAUUGUAGGACUUGAUUGCAACAAUUUGAAUCAGAAAUUACAAUAAAUUAAUGUUUGGUCCUUGUCAUGUGUCUCAAAGUUUGAGGACAAAAUGUGCAAUUUACCCUAAUUUUCCUCAUCUCAGUGGCAGCUCUCAAUUGGAAGGUCUGCUGUUUUGCAGGCAACCUUGUUCUGUCAUUUGUCUUCAAGGUGCAUAAGACUCUCAUGAUGCCUCUUGAUAUGAUCAAAUGGCAUGUUGAACCCUCUCUUUCCUUCUACUUGAAACAUUCGUUCUACUUUCUUUUCAGCUUUUAAUAUUUCUCAUGUCGACCGUCCGUGUGUCCUCAUGUUGACUGUAUGCUUCAAUCAGACAGGCACUUAAUGUUUUAUCCCAUGUUAAGUAUUUUUUUCCCUUCAUUUUACUUGUCAAAGGAGGCUGUGAUGAUUGUCGGUUGGGAAUGCACCUCAGCUUAUUUUAUCCCGGCUUUUGCUUCUCGGCGGAGUACAGAAGCUGAUAAGGAUACUGGAUAUAAGAGGCAAUAUAGUCAACUCAAACCUAAGAUUUUGGUUGGGUUUUGACAAGUCGGGUGGGAUUUGAAUCUGGUUUGUUAGUUUGCUUUGUCCUUUUACAACCCUUGGGAGCCUUUCACUUUGUUCAUUUGUGGGAUAGACAACAUCUCAGUGGGUGGUUUUUGGCUGACAUGAUGCACCAGGUGCAGGCAAUAAUUUUUCCUUUCUGGGCAGCUCGUGAGGCCAACAUUAAGUACCCGUAGCAGUAUUUAAUUGGAAGGCCUUGCAGGCAAGCCUAUGCUGUCACGUCUUUAAGGUGCAUGAGAUUACAAGAUCCCUCAUGUGGUGAUUAAGCGGCAUGUCUGAGUCUCCAUUUUAUUUUCCUACUUCCUUUUUAGCUAUUGAGAUUUGGUUGUUCACGUUUGUUUUCCCCCUCGCUUUCUUACUGCAUAUAGAAGCUAGGAUGGGUUGUUUUAAAUAUUCCUUAUCAAACCGUUGAAACAUGACUUCAUGCUGGUUGAUGGUAAAUUUUCUAUCCUAUAUGUAUUCAGAUCAGAGGGAAUUUGUUAAUCUUUCGGAUUUUGAUAAGAACUAAAUAUAAGAAAGAUUUGGAUGCUAGGUAUAUAAAUAUUUGGGUUAAUUUCUUCAAUCCCUUCCUUAAAGAUUGUAAUUUCAUAAAGACUCCUUCAAAUUGUAAAGGGUUUAGGGUUGCAUGCAUACAUCUCUCUCUUUUGCAUCUGAUCGACAUCAAGUUUCUAUAUUUAUAUUGGGUUUCUUUGCAUUUUAAAGUUAUACAAAAUUGUUGCAGGGCAUGCAAUCAAAACGGUUGCUCAAUCAAUAGCUUCACUUGAGCCCUAUUAUGUUAUUUGAUAAAGUUUUGGGAUUUAUUUGUUAAAAAGUAGAAGUUUUAGCACCUGUUUGCAAAAGUGUUAGAGUUUAGGGAGGCUUUGUACAUUGUUUCAAUUAUUAAUGUUUACUAAAAAAUGUAUGUUGGGCGCAAACAUUGCAUCCUUUUGGGCUAUUUAGAGAGGCAAAAUACUGUGAGCCCUCAAUUACGGAUGUAUGGGUAUGCCUUCGAGGCGAUACGAGCUAGAGAGCCUAUGUUGGGGGAAAAACAAAGUACUGGGCGUGCUCCCUUCUUGCUGCAAGCUCCUCUGUCUCUUCACUCCCACACUGAGAAACCAAACACCCCCUUAGAGAAUCUGGUAUUGGCGGGGCAGCAUUGGAUGGUUUGCUGUUUGUAGGCUACUGAGCUGCAGCCAUUAUUCCAGAAUUGGUGCGGCAACGGCAGCGGUGGCGAUCAUUUUGUGGCCAUCAUUUAUAAUGAUGAUGAUUAUCAUCAUAAUCUUUAAAGGCGCUUCGACUUCAUGUGAGGAUGCCUCCGUUGUCGACGGCAUUGGAUCAUCAUCUUUUUGACACCUCUCAUAUAUUUUGAUCCUGGCUGAAGUAACUAUCAUCAUUUUUCUUGUACUUAGCCAUUCUUUGCUUGAUGCCAUUUUGUUGUUAUUGUUAUUAUUAUUAUUAUUGUUAUUGUUAUUGUCGUAGUGGUGGUGGUCGUGCAGGUGGGUGGAGUCUGCUCUCUCUCUGCCCCCUGUGAAAAGGGAAACCCACAGAACUUCGUUCUGUGGGGUUGACCAAGCCUUCUCUCUCUCUCUCUCUCUCUCUCUCUCUCUCUCUCUCUCUCUAUAUAUAUAUAUAUAUAUAUAUAUAUAUAUAUAUAUAUUGAGUUCGGCUAUGGUGCUUUUAAAAGCACCAAGCACUUGGUCCUUGUAAGUUUUUGUAAGUUUCCCAUUGUUAGAUUUAUCUCUUUGACCAAUUCCACCCCUAAGAUUAUACUAUUCGACCAACUACCCGCUCAAAUCUUGGGGACAACUAUUAUCCUAACCCUACAAAUCUUCAUCCUAGGCCGAAAACCUACAAGCACCAAUGACUUGGCACUUUUAAAAGCAUAGGAGCUCAAUUCUAUCUAUCUAUCUAUCUAUCUAUCUAUCUAUCUAUAGACAUAUAUGUAUAUAUAUACAGUUUGUGUGUGGGGAAUAUAAGGGGAAAAAAAACAACAAUCAUGCCACAUGAGGCAUUAAGUUUUCAGCGGUUGGUGCAUGGCAUGGUAAUAUUGGAAGGCUUUGCUUCUCUGCAGGCAACUAUUUUUUCAUGUGAUGUCUUGCUUAGACUUGCUGAAAUUAUUGAGAACAAGCUUAUUAAAGCUUUCGAUGAGUCUCUUUCCACGUCAACAACCACAACACUGUCACAUUACUGUUGCAUUAGUGGGACAUUACCGAAAGUAAGUUGGCCUAUGAAACUUGAUUGCAACAAUCAAAAAAGUUUGAGCUAGAAAUUGCAGCUAUUAUGGUUUGAGGACCAAAAGUGUAAUUUAGCCUUAUUUUAUAUAACAAACGACUGGGCAAGCAAUAAUUUUCCAAUCUCGGCACCUAUAACUGCACUCAAUUGGAAGGCCUGCUAUUUUGCAGGCAACCUUGUUAUGUCGGUUGUCUUCAAGGUGCAUAAGACUAUAUGAUGCCUCUUGAUAUGAUCGAAUGGCCAGUCGGAGCCUCUCUAUCCUUCUACUUCCUUUUCAUCUAGUAAUAUUUCUCAUGCUGACUGUCGAUGUUCUCAUGCUGACUGUAUGCUUCAAUUAGACAGGCCCUUAAUGCUUCAUGCAAAUGUUAAGGAAGCGUCUCUCCUUUAUGUUACGUUUCGAAGGAUGUUGUGAUGAUUGGCGGUUGCGAAGGCACCUCAACUUGUUUUUUUCUUGGCUUUUGAUUCUUAGAGCGUGUUUGGUUCACUUCUUUUUCACUCUGGAAUCGAAAUCGGAAUGGGUGAAUCUGUUUGUGGGUGUUUGGUAUGCGGGAGUUCCAUUCCCAUUCCUAUUCCCGAGUGGGAUGGGAAUCCCCUAAUCAUCUCUUUUUCCAAUCCGGUCUAGUAGGCCGGAUUGACAGUUGAAUCCAGACGGAAUGGAUAUUUAUUCGGAUUAAAUUAAUUUUUUCAACUUUUUUAAAUUAAAAUAUGAGUUUAAAUUUAGAAAUUAAAUUUAUAAUUUUAAAUUUUAAUUUGAAUUUGAAUUAAAAAUUAAAAUUUAAUCAAUUAUUUUGAAUCUAACUUAUAAAUUUGAAUUUAAAUUAAAUUUUAAUUUAUAUAAAGUUUUAUUCAAAUUUUAUUUAAAACUUAAAUUAAAUUUAUGGAUUCAAAUUAAAAUUAAAAUUGUAAUUUUAAGUUUGAAUUUGAAUAAAUCGAAAUUUAGUUUUAUAUUUUGAAUUAUCCACUCAACUUCAAAGUUUAAUUUUUUAAAAAAAAAUAGAUUUAAAAUUUUGACAUUAUUUCAAAAUUUUGAUGUAAAUUUUUAAUAUUUAAUUUUCAGUUUGAAUUUAAAUUAAUAUAUUAUAAAGAUAAAGUUAGUAUAUUAAUUUGAUUACGUUUUUUAUAUCUAUCUGAACAAAACACCGACAAUGGGAAUGAUUUAUUCCGAUUCCGAUUCAGGUAAUGAAUCAAACAGAAUUAGGUAAUGAGUCAUUCCAAUUCUGAUUUCAGCUUAUUUCGAUUCCGAUUCUGAUUCCGAUUCCAACUUCGAACCAAACGCGCCCUUAAUGGAGUGCAGAAGCUGAUCGAAAUACUGGAUAUAAGAGGUAGUAUGGUCAACCCUAAAAACUGCACUUUUGCAUUAAAAAAAAUCCCUUUCAUGAAUAACUGUAGAAACGGAUGGUCUGCACUUUUGCAGGCAACCUAGCAGUUACAUGCUGUUUUUUGUGGUUUGUACUUUUAAGCUGUUUCUUUGCGACAUCAUUUGCCUAGUGAUCAAGCAAUGCCAAAUACAUCGUAUAUUAGACAUUAAAAUUGUUGAUUUCUGGACAACUUGACUACUUAGCAAAUGAUAUCAAAGAAUGAUGAAGUUUGAAACCUAGAAAGUUGAAAUAUCCUAGAUCAUGUUUGACGGUGCUGAUGGUCUAUCCAGAUGCCCCAUUAUCGGAAAUGACACGGAAGUGAGCUGUACUUGUAGAAGUAUUCUAGCCUCUCCUUUUCUCUCUCUCUCGAUCUCGAUUUUCUAGGUUGAAAUAUAGAGCAAAAAGUUGGUGGUGGCACUAUUAUGGAUCAAUAAGGUCUAAGGUUCACUUCUUGAAGAUCCCCCUGCUCCCCCCCCCCCCCUUCAAAAAUAAACAAAAAAAAAACACACACACACACACACACACACACACACACACACAAAAAGGAAAAAAAAAAAACUCAAAAUGCAGUUCCUCGUGGAAACUGGCUCCUGCUCGGCAUGCUAUCUUGAACGGCUAGCUCCGAUGCAGACAACCAAUAUUUGCAUCUAUACAGGGGAUUUUAAUCCUCAGUUUGCUAUUUUGAAGCAACAAGUGUCGGAUUGUACGUUAUCUGAAUGUACAUGUUCUUUGAGGAAUGGCUAUGAUGACUGCCUGGAUGCACCAGAACUGAAGCAUUUGACUGAAACGUAGCUUGGCAAUCUUUGGAAGGCUUGCAAUUCUGUGAGCAACCAUUAUGCAGCUGUUUGUGUAGUUCUGUGAAGAUUCUGAUGAAAAGGCCAGAUCUGAGCCACCUCCCUUCUCAGCAUCAUCUUCGUUAAAUUAUGAAAAGCUUUCUUGUACUUUAUCCUCUGUCACAAUUAUCUAACUGCUCGAGAAAGAUGGACUGUAGACAACCGUCCGCUUGUAGACAUCUUUGACUCUAUGGUAAACAGUUGCGACAUGUUUGUUGGGUAAAUGAAAGAAAUAUGUUGAACAAGAUGGUUGUGUGUCGAAAGAAAUGAUCUGUGCUGCUGUUUAAAGCUGCAUUCUUAUGUCUUUCCAUGUGGCAGCUGUGAUGAUUGCCAAGUAUGGAAGCAUCAAAACCCUUGAACAUUAGACUACACUUUGAUCUGCACAGCGUGGCAACUUUUGGACGGCUUGUUUAGCAAGCAUCCAUUUUGCGUUUGUAUGUGUAGUUCGCAAAUGCUCAUAAAAAUGGGGUGAAAAUGUGCAGAACUUAUCUGAACUAUGGACCAUUUCGAGAAAGGCAGAUUGUAGACAACCGUCCGCAUGUUUGUUGUGUAGACAUCUUAGACUCUAUGGUUAACAAUUGCGGCAUAUUUGUUGGGUAAAUAAAAGAAAUAUGUUGAUGGUCAUGUGUCAAUAGAGGCUCUAAAUUUGCACUUUUGUUCUGCGCCACAAAUGAGCUGUGCUGCUGUUGAAAGAUGCAUUGUUACCUCUUUCUAUGUGGUGGCUGUGAUGAUUGCCAUGUAUGGAUGCACCAAAUCCCUACAACAUUUGACUAAACUUUGAUCCGCACAGCUCGGCAACCUUAGGAAGGCUUAUUUUGCAAGCAUCCAUUUUGCUUUGUAUGUGUAGGUUUGCGAAUGCACACAAAAAUGGCAGAUCUGAGCCACAGCGUCUAAAUAUCUCCUUUUCCUUGUUUAGAACUAACAAUUUUUUACCCCUUGCUUGCUCUUGUUUAAAGAACUUCUGUUUGCUAAAUCGCCUCUUGCAACAAGGUGGUUAGUUGAUAAGAGGAAAAAUGUUCCUUUAUGACAAUAUAUGUUUUUGAAGUUUAGUGGUGAUAAUUACACCGCAGUUGGAGGGGGUUUGGCAUAUUUUUGUCUUUAAAUAUGGCCCGCAGGUAGUGUAGUUUUAACAGAGCAUUAGACCUGCCUGGCAGGAACAUUGGAUGGCCUGCUUAUAUGCUGGCAACCAAUUUUUGAUGCUGUAAGCUGGAGUUUGUACCGAGGUUCGUAUUAUUAGCGUUGAGCAUCGCGAUGUAACUUUUUGUAGUUGUACAGAGCCGAAGAAUUGCUCUUUUGCAUCCUUCUUCCUUAGUGGGUAAUCAAAAUUUCCACAAAAUUGGAACUUCAAAUCUCACUUCUUUCAAGUUUAUCCCCAAACCGGUUUUCUAUAAAAAUAAACUGAACAUGCGACUUCGGCAAUGCUGAGGACUCAUAGGGGUGACACGGUCGAAUACGGUCGGAUUUUUGAUGAAACCAUAUCCGUAUCCAUUUCGUAGGCUAAUUCGGGUAUGAUGAUGUUGGAUUCGAUCGGAUUUUAUCCUAACCAUUUUCACCCCUACUUGUGGUACAUUUAUUCAGAGGAAAAAUACUCUUGAGCCCUCCAAUGAGGGAUGGACGGAUGGAUGGACGGACGGGUACAUCGCUAAGGCGAUACGAAAGAGAGAACCCUGCGUUGGGGACAAGCAGAAAUGCAGGGAUGCUCCCUUCUUCCUGUAAGUCCCUCUGUCUCCUACUCUCUUCCACCCCAAAAAAAGGAAAAAAAAAAAAGAAAGAAAGAAGAAAGUCAUUUGUCUCGUUUCCCAUCUCUUCCUUUCCUCAAGUGUUUUUAGGUUAGACAGGGAAUGUGGUAAUGGCGGGGCAGUUCUGGACGGUCUGCUCUUCUGCAGGCUACUGAGCUGCAGCCAUUACUCCGGAAAUACAUUGGCGGGAGUGACGGUGGUCAUUCAUAAUGAUGAUGAUGAUGAUGAUGAUGAUGAUGAUGAUGAGGAUUAUAACCUUUGAAGGUGCUUCAGCUUUGUCUGAGGAUGCUUCCGGUGUCAAUGGCACUGGAUCAUGUUCCUCUUGAUACCUCACCUAUCUUCUUGAUACCUCACCUUUUUCUUGAUCCUCAUUAAAGCAGCUAUCAUUUCCUCCUACUUCCUUUCUUGAUGCCCUAUUGUUGUUGUUGUUGUUGUUGUUGUUGUUGUUGUUGUUAUCAUUAUUAUUAUUAUUAUUAUUAUUGUGGUGGUGGUGGUGGUGGGGGUGGAUGGAGUCUACCAUCUCCCUGCCCCUUCGUAAAAAGGGAAGCUUUCGUUUCUCGGGGUUGACCGAGCCCACACAUAUAUAUGUGUGUGUGCGCGCGUGCGCUUUUAGAAGCAUAUACUUUGAACUUUUGGACCCUUGGAUCCCUAUGGUUUACUAGCUAGUGAUGGUUAAAGUACGGAUCCAAGGGCUCAAAAGUUUAAGUUGUAACUUCUCAAAGCAGCAUAAGCUCUAUUCUAUAUAUAUACACACACACACACUGUUGGUGUUUGAGGGUUGGAAAAAAAAAAAACAACAGGAACAAUUCUAGAUGAGGGCUAAAGUUUCAGCAGAAGGUGGAUAGCAUGGUUAUCUUGGAAGGCUCUGCUGUUCUGCAGGCAAGCAUUAUUCUAUGUGAUGUCUUGCGAUGUACGAGAAGAGAUAUCUAUUCCUUUUUCUCAUGCAAUACUCUGUUUGGUGCCAAAUCAUUAUAGAAUUGAAUAUAUUUGCAAUUCCAUGAGGGCAUUUGUAUUGCAGAAAAUGCAAACUAUGGCAAAUCUGACCACAAACCAGUGGAUUUGCUUUAUCGGAAAUAAAUUUAAAGUACACCUGCUAAUGUCUACAAGGAUGAACCAGUUCUUCUUGGCAAUUUCAUCCAAAUCAGUGAUUUGGAGGAUUCCAAACAGGGAAUGAACAAGGCUUCGAUGAUUGCCAAUCUGGUUGCCCACAGUUUGCCCUUGCCGUUUCUUCUUUACCAUUGUACAGUGUAAACAUCUCUUAUAAUAUCAGUUGUUCCGUAAAUUGGAUGGUCUGCUAAUUUAGCAGGCAACCUUUGAAGCUUUUGAUGAGUCUCUUGCCAUGUUAUCAAUCACAGUACUUCUACAUCACUCCCUUAUCAGUGAUACAUCAUUUAUUCUACUAAAUUGGACUAUGGAACAUGUUGCAACAAUCAAGAAAUGUUGAUUCAGAAGUUGCAACAAAUUAAAGUUUAAGGACUAAAGUGUCAUCCGCCUUAUUGUUUGAGGACCAAACGUGUAAUUUAGCCUUAUAUUAACUUACAAAGCACCCAGGAUAAAAAGAAAGUACUGGAUUUUUUUUUUCCCCCUAGAGAAGCUUUCAAUGGCUUGCGAUGCAUCUGCUGUAUGCAAUAAUUUUCCUAUCUCAGCUGCUCACUAGGGCAGCCUUGCGGGGUAGCUGUAGCAGCACUCAAUUGGAGGGUCUGCUGUUUUGCAGGAAACCUUGUUCUAUCAUAUGUCUUUAAGGUACACAAGGUUACAUAAUGCCUGAUCGAAUGGCAAGUCGGAGCCUCUCUUUCCUUCUACUAUCUUUUCAACUAUCAAUAUUCUCAUGCUGACUGUAUGAAUGUCCUCAUGUUGACUGUAUGUUUCAAUCAGACAGGCCCUUAAUGUUUCAUGCUAUGCUAAAGAAGUGUUUCUCCUUCAUUUUAGUUGUCAAUGGAGGCUGUGAUGAUUGCCGGCUGGGGAUGCACCUCAGCUUCUUUUAUCCUUGCUUUUGACUCUUGGCGGAGUAAAGAAGCUGAUCGAAAUACUGGAUAUGAGAGGCAAUAUAGUCAGCUCAAACCAAACAUGUUUGUUGGAUUUUGACAAUUCUGGUGGGAUUUGAGUCUGGUUUGUUGGUUUUCUUGGUCCUUUUACGCUCCUUGACAGCCCUUUGCUUCGUUCCUUUGGGUGGUCUUGGGUGACAUGAUUCACCGGGUGCAGACAAUAAUUUUUCCUUUCUAAGCAGCUAUAAGGCCAACAUCAGCUACCUGUAGCAGUACUUAAAUUGGAAGGUCUGCGGUCUUGUAGGUAACAUUAUGCUGUUACGUCUUCAAGGUGCAUAAGAUUGCAGGACCCCUCAUAAGAUAUGAUUAAAUGGCAUAUCUGAGCCUCCAUUUUCUUCUCCUAAUUCAUUUUUUGCUAUUCAGUGGUACACUCUUCCCUCACCACCCCCCCCCCCCCCCCCNNNNNNNNNNNNNNNNNNNNCCCCCCCCCCCCCCCCCCCCCCCCCCCCCCCCCCCCCCCCCCCCCCCCCCCCCCCCCCCCCCCCCCCCCCCCCCCCCCCCCCCCCCCCCCCCCCCCCCCGCUCCUCUGGCUUUCUUGCUGCAUGUAGAAUCUAGGAUGGGUUGUUUCAUAUUUUCCUUAUCAACUUCCUGGAACCCUGCGUAAUGCUGGUUGAUGACAACUGGAUAGUUGUUCGGGGGUCUAUUUCAAAAUGGCCUAUAGUUGUGGGGAUCAUCAUACUAUUUAUCCUUCUCAAUAUAUUUGAGGGUUAUCCCAAUAUUGUGACUUAGUCCUCGAACCUAUUCCGUAAACACUUGUCCCUUAUCUUUCACAUAUUCUUGCAGUUCAUCCCUGGCCAUCACUUUGGUCCAUAUGUUCCAGGCAAGAUCUCUCAUUAGCACGCUUCAGUGUAAUUUAAUCACUAGAGGAUUGGCGCGUGAGUCGUAAUUGGGGGCAAGAAGAAGUACAGGGCAUGCUCCCUCCUUUGUAUAAGCCCCGCUGUCUACUUUCUCUUGCACCACAAAAAGCAGAAGAAAAAAAGAAAACAUUUUAAUGUUGAUAUGGGAUGGUGAUAAUAGUUUAAGAAGCUUCGGCUUCAUUUGAGGAUGCCUCCUAUGUUGAUGGCGUCAGAUUGCCAUCUUCUUGAUUCCUCUCAUAUUUCUAGAUUCUAGCUAAAGCAACUAUUAUCUUUUUUUUUAAUUACAUCUCCAUUUCUCUUCUUGAUGUCUUAUUUUUUUCUUCUUCUUCUUCUUGUUAAUUGCUGCUGUUAUUGUUAAUUUUACUAUAGUGGUGGUGGUGGUGGGUGGAGUCUAUCGUCUCCCCAUCCCCUCCCGAAAGGGAAAACCCAAAAAACUUCGCUUUUCGGUUUUGACCAAGCCUUCAUUCUUGGUUUUGGCUGUAUAUAUAUAGAGAGAGAGAGAGUUUGCGAUUAACUAUUUAACCCUUGGAUUUCAGCAGUAGGUGCAUGGCAUGGAAAUCUUGGAAGGCACUACUCUUCUACAGGCAACCAUUUUUCCAUGUGAGGCCUUGAAUGUACCAGAAGAUAUAUCUACUCCUUUUCUAAUGUAAUACUCUGUUUGGCACCAAAUCGUUGUAGAAGUGAGUAUAUUUGCAAUCCUGUGAGGGCAUUUUUGGAGCAAAAAUGCAAAUUAUGGUAGAUCCGACCACAAACCAGUGGAUCUGCCUAGAAUUGCUGAAAUCAUUUGAAACCAUUGAAAAUCAAUUCAAUCCACACCUGCUAAUGUUUCCAAGGAUUAACGAGUUCUUGUUUGCAAUUUCGUUCAAAUCAGUGAUUCAAAGGAUUCUAAACAGGGUGCAAAGGAGGCUGUGAUGGUUGCCAACCUGGGUGCCAACGGUUUGUCCAAGCCAUUUCUUCUUUGCUGAGUGUACAAAAUAAACAGCUCUUUUAGUAUCAGUUCUCCUUUGGUAAAUUGGAAGGUCUGCUAAUUUAGCAGGCAACCUUUACCACCAUAUAUUAUAAUGGUGCAAGAAUUAUAUGAUGCCUUUUGAAUAAAGUGGGGGAAAUGGUUGAGAACAGACUAAUUGAAGCUUUAGGUGGGUCUCUUGUGAUGUCAUCGACAACAAUACUGCCACAUUACUGCUACAUAUGUGAGACAUCACCAUCCACUCAACUAAAUUGGCUUGUGAGAUUUGAUUGCAACAGUCAAGGAAGUUCGAGACAGAAAAUUGUAGCAAUUAUAGUUUGAGGGCCAAAGUGUCACCCGCCUCAUAGUUUGAGAACCAAAAGUGUAAUUUAGCCUUUAUUUUAGCUAACAAACCACUGAGGGUGAAAAGACAGCGUUUUCUAGGAACUGGCUCCUGUGAUGCACCAGGUGCAGGCAAUAAUUUUCCUCUCUAUGCUAUGUGUGGCAGCACUCAAUUGGAAGGUCUGCUGUUUUGCAGGCAACCUUGUUCUGUCCUUUGUCUUUAAGGUGCAUAAGACUACAUGAUGCCUCUUGAAAUGUUCGAAUAGCAGGUCAGAGCCUCCCUUUCUUGCUUUCUUUUCAGCUAAAAUGUAUAUCGUGCUGACCGUCCAUAUGUCCUCGUGCUGGCUGAAUGCUUCAAUUGGACAGACCCUUAAUGUCUUGUGCAAUGGUAAGGAAAUAUUUCUCCUUCAUUUUACUUGCCAAAGAAUGCUGUGAUGAUUGCCAAUUGGGAAGGCACGUCAACUUAUUUUAUCAUGCCUUUUGACUCUCGGCAGAGCACAAAAGCUGAUUGAAAUACUAGAUUUAAGAGGCAAUAUAGUCAGGUCAAACCAAAGAUCUUGAUUGGGUUUUGAUAAUUCGAGUGGCAUCUGAAUCUUGUUUGUUGGUUAGCUUGGUGCUUCUACACCCCUUGAGUGCCCGUCACACACUUGUAUGCUGAUUCAGAUGUGGAUAUCCAAGCAUACAUCUCUCUUUCUCUCUCUCUCUUUGUCACGCCCCAGUUUCUUGGAGCGCCACCCAUUCUAGAACUACUCUAGCCGUAGGUUUGCUCAACCCUCUUAACCUUUUGGGCUUAGCCGCUGCUCAAAAUGGUAUUGCUAGGUUAAGAGGUUUAUCUCUAUAAUACCUUAUAUAUAGGACUUCCAAAUCCUAGGGGUGUCACAUUCUCCUCUCGGUUACCUGCUUCCCUCUUUUAGGCUCUGACGUCCUCUCAGGUUCAAACACACUCACAAGCACCGCCGAUGUGAGACUCGUCUUCCUAGCCUUAGAUAACCUUGUGGGGAGCCGCGCUCCACCCACAAUGGCCGUCAGUCGGAGAGCCGUGCUUUUGCCCGUUUUAUGACCCUGGCUCAGCCAAGGAUCAUCUCACACUUAUGGUUGGUGAUUGGCUUUGAUACCAACUGACGCCUCGCUUCCCAGAGGGGUCAUCCAUCCAAGAACUACUCUAGCCUUAGGCUUGCUCAAUCCUCUUAAUCUCUUAGGCCUAGUCACUGCUCAAAAUGCUAUAGCCGGGUUAAGAGGUUUAGCCCUACUAUAUCUUAUAUAUAAAACUAUUCCAAAUCCCGGGAGUCUCCCUCCCCCUCUCCCCCUCCCACCCCCCCCUCCUGAUUGUCUCAUGCCCUAAUGACCAUUUAUAGUCAUAAUCUAUUUCAAGUAAUUUUGGAUUCGAUCAAAUAUCAUAUUUCUAUUUGUUAUAUAAAAUUAUGUGCAAGGCAUGUGAUCAAAACAGUAGCUCAAUUAGUAACUUCACCUGAACAGAGGGGUUCACUAAACUAUUUGAUAAAGUUUUUGCGGUUUUGUUGCCAAAAAGUAAAAGUUUAGGCUCCUGUUUGCAAAAGUGUUAAAGUGCAGAGUACUAAUUUUUGAUGUUUAUAUAUCUAAAAUCAUUUUCUUAAAAUGUAACUGGAAAUUGCCAAGCAGCUCUGGACUGUCUGCUCUUCUGCAGGCUACAGAGCUGCAGCCAUUAUUCCAGAAAUGUUGUGGCGGCGGCGGCUGCAGCUGCAGUUGGUGAUCAUUCAUAAUGAAGAUGAGGAUGAUGAUUAUAACCUUUAAAGAGGCUUCUACCGCAUCUAAAGAGGCCUCCUAUGUCGAUGGCAUCUGAUUGUCAUAUUCUGAUACGGUGAUACCUCUCGUAUUUCUCAAUCCUCGCUUAACUAUCAUCAAUUUUUUUUUCUACUUCUCCAUUUCUCUUCAUGAUGACUUGUUGUUGUUGCUGCAGCUGAUGGUGUUCUUGUUAUUGUUGCUGUUGUUAUUAUUAUUGUUAUUGAGGUCGUGGGGUUGGAGGUGGGUGGAGUCUGAAUGUCUCCCCGCCCCUUCCUGAAAGCCGAAACUUAGAAAACUUCGCUUUGCUGGGUUGACUAAGCCUUCAUUCUUGGUUCUGGUUAUAUAUAUCUAUAUAUAUAUAGAUAUAGAUAUAGAUAUAUAGAAACAGCUUGUAUUUGGGGGACAAAAAGGACAAAACAAACAGCAAUGAAACCAAAUGAGGCGUUAAGUUUACAGUAGUAGUUGCAUGGCAUGGUAAUUUGGAAGGCUCUGCUUUUCCGCAAGCAAUCAUUUUUCCAUGUCUUUUCUUUUUUAUACUUGGUGAAAUGGUUGAGAACAAACUGAUUGAAGCUUUUGGUUGUCUCUUGCGAUGUCAUCAACCACAAUGCUGCCACAUUACUGCUAUAUUAAUGAGACAUCACCAUUCACUUAACCAAAUUGGCCUGUGAGACUUGAUCGCAACAAUCAAGAAAGUACGAGCUACAAAUUGCGGCUAUUAUUGUUUGGGGACCAAAGUGUCACCUGCCUCAUAGUUUGAGGACCAAAAGUGUAAUUUAGCUUUAUUUUAUCUAUCAACCCUUGGAACAGGCAUUAAUUUUCCUAUCUCAGCACUCUGUUGGAAGGUCUGCUGUUUUGCAGGCAACCUUGUUCUGUCAUUUGUGAUGCCUCUUGAUGUGAACGAAUGGCAGGUCGGAGCCUCUCUGUCCUUCUACUUUCUUUUCACUGUUGAUAUUUCUCAUGCUGACCGUCCAUAUGUCCUCAAUCCUCUUGCUGACUGUAUGCUUCAACCGGAAGGCCCUUACUGUUUCAUGCAAUAUUAAGGAAGUGUUUUUCCUUCGUUGUACUUGUCAAAGGAGGCUGUGAUGAUUGCCACUUGGGAAUGCACCUCAACUUCUUUAAUCCUUGCUUUGGAUUCUCGGCGUAGUGUAGAAGCUGACCAAAAUACUGGGUAUAAGAGGCAAUAUAGUCAACUCAAACCUGAGACCUUGGUUGGGUUUUGACAGUUCGGGUGGGAUUUGAAUCUUUUUUUCUUUUUUUUUUUAAUUUUAUAUUUUAGUCCUUUUACACCCCUUGAGAGGCCUUUACGUGGUUCAUUUGUGGGAUAGACAGCAUCUCAGUGGAUGGCUUUUGGCUGACAUGAUCACCUGGUGUAGGCUAUAAUUUUUCCUUUCUCAGCAGCUCAUAUAACCAACAUUAAGUACCUGUAGCAGGACUUAAAUUGGAAGGUCUACUGUCUUGGAUGCAACAUUUUGCUGUCGUGUCUUUAAGGUGCAGAAGAUUGCAAGAUCCCUUGCGAGAUGAUUAAGUGGCAAAUCUGAGCCUCCA
This 60821-nucleotide long non-coding RNA is filed under the name Ananas comosus (pineapple). RNAcentral describes it as "long non-coding RNA (ACOM_LNC002932)". The record is from RNAcentral. Lineage: Eukaryota; Viridiplantae; Streptophyta; Magnoliopsida; Poales; Bromeliaceae.